AAGGGAACACAAAAACAUCCCCCUUGUUCAGGACUUUGCUAACGAAGCGGUGUUCAGGGUUGGAUGUGAUAAAGCCAACAAAGAGUGUUCCCUCCAAGACAACGAGGAUCUCACUGGCACGAGGGUGAAAGUGAGGAGGGUUUUGACCAUUAGGUUCAUAAUCGAUACGAGCCACUGACACCCCAAGAGCGUUUUCUCCUGGUAAUUGAUCAACAUUUAUAAGAUUGACAAUUGAGCCCACAUAAUUUGAUGUGUUUCCUGGAAUAUUCAGCCCUUGAUACAAGAAAUCCUCGGCCACGGUCAGGUUUGGGUUCUUGCAGAACUUCCCAUUUACAAAUACUGCAUGAAGAAGGAAAAAAGAAAAGAUAUAUCAUUAGUAUCGAACCAUACUCACCAUAUCAAUAAAAAGAGAAGUACUGAAAAUAGCUAUAAGAUCAUUGGUUACUAUAGAAAUACCAGCAUUCUUGGGCUCAUCAACGGCAACACAGGUGUCUUCCAGUGGGCUUGGAUCAUAGGCAGAGGCAAGAAAGGAAGCCAAUGCCAUGAAGGCCACGGUUACCAGGAAACUAACGCUUUUCUUCAUUGUUAGAGUACUGUCUCCAACAAUCACAAUAUUUAUCUUUAGGCGGGGAUAAGAAAUUUAGCAUGGAAAAGAUGUUAAUUUAUAGACCAGAGUCGGUGAGUUAGUCUUUGCAUAAACUCACCAAGUCUUCAAUGGGAAGUUUUUUCUUCUUUCUUUUUUCACUUUCGAGGACAAGCGGUUGCACCAAUACAUGUUGAUUUACGUAGGAUUAGUCAGUAUACAGAUCUUAACCAGAAUAUAAAGCAAUGUACAAUCAGGUGGAGGCAGGUCCAAUUUAAUAUCAAUCUGUAUGAUCCAUACGUUUACAUAUAUAGUAGAGCUUUCUGCUCUUUUAGUAGUGUAUGGACAAGCAAAUAGAAGAUUACAGAGUAGGUGCCAGCUUGGACUAUACAAUGACCCACCCCUAUCAAACAUGGUUACUCCAUGAGACUUGUGUAGGUUCAGUUUAAUGAGUAUUUAUAUAGCUUAAUUCACCAUUCGAAGUGUUGAGAGAUUGGCUGAUGAGAUUGAAUAUGUAGCCAAGUUCUGAGUUUCUAGCUCAUGUGCCUUCCACUGAGUGAAAAGUCCUUGGAUAAGCUCUGGGGUUGCCUCAGUUCAAUGAAAAAUUGGGAUAAAUUCAAAGACUUUCUGCUAUAUGCUCACUAGGCUUUCCUCAGUUACAAAAGCUUUGACUAUGAUUUUUAUGCUUGCAGCCUUCCCUGUCUGAGCGGUUGGCUCAAAAGUUACUACUACAAUUAUUAUGGUUUGUGAGAGAAAGAGAUCUUAACAAACACCUUUAAACUAAGACUUUUUAAUUAGUCGUCUUUAACAAGCAAGUCUGUAUUUUCUGGUGAGAAGCAAGAAACCUUACAUUAGCAAAAUACCAAUUAAUUAGAUGAAGUCCUUCGGCUAAUCUAUGCCCUAUAAGUAAGGUAAUUAAGCAGAUCGAUACACUUUCCAAAUCUUCAAUGGAUGUCAUUUUUCAAAUUGAAAGGUUGAACCAUUCUGAGAAUUUUCAAAUUGGACAGGCCAUCUGUAAUCAGAUUGUGAUUAGUGUCAUGACCCAUUAGAUCUUUAUAAGAAGUUGGGGUUAGAGGUUUGUUCACAGUGGAUGUCAUGAGAUUUCUGGGCUUUCAUUUCCAUUCUUUCCUCACUAUUUCAUGACACUGAUGCUUCUCCCACCAUUCAUAUGGUUUGACUCGGACAUCUUAAUUAGUUUUUUCGAUCUCAGUUGAUGGGGGCCGGUUAUACUGGGAUAAUCUAGAGAAGCAAAUUAAUGGCAUCUUUCCAUUAUUGGAUUAUAUGAGGUUGUUGGCCAUGGUUCAAAGUCAUGGUAUCGGACACCAACUCGGUAAGUCUUGAGGCACAUGGGUCUCAACGUCGCAGAUCAAUAUCGGGUGAUACACAAAAAAUUAUAGUUUAAAAGCCCAAAACAAUUUAAAAAGAUUACAAAAAUAAAUACAAAUAAAUGAAGUUAAAAAUUAAUAAAAUAAACUUUUAUUAUAUAUAAAAUUAUUCAAAUUAUGAUAAAAACAUACCUUCGUAAUGAUUUAUAAAAAUAUAAAAAAAUUAAUUUAAUCACUUAAUAUUAAAUAUGCAUUAUUAAAGAUGAAAAUAAUAAAAAGUGAAUUUAUUGUUUAUAAUUUUUUUUAAAUUAAAUAUUUUAAAUUUUUAAAAAAUAUUUUCAAUAUUUUAAAAAAUACAUCUAGGAAUCAUCUUUGAAAAAAGUAAACAUCAUUUUUCUUAUCAAAUAUAUACUAAAUGAAACAAUUAUAAAAAUGGAGAAUUUUUAUUUGAAUGAGCAUAUUUGAAUAUAAUAUAUUUUUUCUAUACAUCUAUUCAUUUUAAUUGACUUUUUAUAUUAAUAUUUAUUUUCUAUUUUAUUUAUGUAAACCUAAAUAUUCAUUAUUAAUUUACCAUUAUCCUAAACCCAUCAAAUUUUCAUUAUCCAUUUAAAUACAAUUAUUCACCACAUAUUCAUUAACUACUUAUUUGUAAUCCUAUCAAAUACCCAUAAACCAUUCACCUCGCAAACACGUAUUUCCUUUUUUUGCACAAUACCCAUUUCCCCUCUAAAACAACACUUUGAGCUCUCUACUUCUUUGCACAAUACCUAUAUUUGAAGGCUAAAAAAAUAACCCCAUGAAGAUACAAGAGGAUGGAGAUGCAAAUAGAAGGAUGAAGAUGCACAAGGUUUGAAGACUCUAAACUCUCCAUACUUCUUCACUUUCAUGAGUUUUGAUUAUCUUCUCUUAUCCACCAUUUCUGCUCCAAUAUUACUAUUUUUUUUCCAUCACCCAUCACCCAUCACCCAAAGAGAUUAGUUUGAAUAUAAUAUUAGGGUUAUCUCAAAGUUUCUUUGUGAUUUAACAAGUUUAUUCAUGAGUCAACCAAAUAUUGGACUCAGGAAUCAGUCCAAUACGGUUCAUGAGCUCUUUAUUUAUUUGUACAAUACCCAUUUUUGAAGGCUCACAACACAACCCUACAAAGAUACAAGAUGAUGAAGAUGCAAAUACAAGGAUGAAAUGCAAAGGGUUUGAAGACUCUGAACUAUUUAUAUUUUUUCACUUUCAUGGGUUUCGAUCUUCUUCUCUCAUCCACCAUUUUCGCUACAAUAUUACUAUUUUUUUCCAUUACCCAUCACUCGAAAAGCUUAGUUUGGACACAAUCUUUAGGUUAUCUCAAAGUUUCCAUGCGAUUCAACAAGUUUAUUUCAUUAGAUAACCAAAUAUUGGACUCAGAUAUCAAUUCGAUACCGGUCAUGGCCAAGACGGAUGUAACUCAGUCGAGUCAAACUAGUCUUGACUAAGAUUUUGAACCCCAUUUGAGCUCUCUAUUUCUUUGCAUGUACAAUGCCCAUUUUUGAAGGCUCACAAAAUAGCCCUAUGAAGAUACAAGAGAAUGGGGAUGAAAAGGGUUUGAAGACUCUGAACUCUUCAUACUUCUUCGCUUUCAUGGGUUUCGAUCUUUUUCUCUCAUCUACCAUUUCUACUCCAAUAUUACCAUUUUUUUUCCAUCAUCUACCACCUGAAGAGCUUAGUUUGGAGAUAAUCUUGGGGUUAGCUCAAAGUUUCUUUGUGAUUUAACAAGUUUAUUCAUGAGUCAACCAAAUGUUGGACUUAGGUAUUGGUUCGACACCAAUCAUGGCUAAGGCGGAUAUGACUGAGUUGAGUCGUACAAGUCUCGAUCAAGAUUAUGAGCCCUGUUUGAGCUCUCUAUUUCUCUACACAAUACCCAUUUUUGAAGACUCACAAAAUAGCCUUAUGAAGAUACAAGAUAAUGGAAAUGCAAAUAUAGGUGUAGGACCUCAGGCGCUACCAACUCUCCUAAAAGCAAUUGCUGUUAGGAAAGACGCAUACCCUAACCUUAUAGUGCAUUCACCCAAGCGCCCAUGGAGAACACAAGGGGAGUUUAUGGAUACGACCAACCUUCCGAUCUAUCAGCAAUCUCCCAUACCACUUGUAGGACCUCAGACGCUACUAACUCUCCUAAAAGCAAUUGCUGUUAGGAAAGACGCAUACCCUAACCUUAUAGUGCAUUCACCUAAGUUCCCACGACAAACAUAAGAAGAGUUGAUGGACGCGGCCAACCCUCUGAUCUGCCAACAAUAGGGAUGAAAAUCCAAAGGGUUUGAAGACUCUGAACUUUCCAUAUUUCUACACUUUCAUGGGUUUCGAUCUUCUUCUCUCAUCCACCAUUUUCACUCCAAUAUUACCAUUUUUUUUUCUAUCAACCAUCACCCAAAGAGCUUAGUUUGGACAUAUUCUUAAGGUUAUCUCAAAGUUUCUUUGUGAUUUAGCAAGUCUAUUCAUGAGUCAACUAAAUAUUAGACUUGAGUAUCGAUCUAGUACUGGUCAUGGCCAAGGCAAAUAUGACUCGGUCGUGUCAUACCAAUCUAGAUCAAGAUUUUGAACCUUAUUUGAGCUCUCUAUUUCUUUGUACAAUACCCAUUUUUAAAGGCUCACAAAAUAACCCUAUGAAGAUACAAGAGGAUAAAGAUGCAAAUAUAGGGAUGAAGAUGCAAAAGGUUUGAAGACUCUGAACUCUCCAUAUUUCUUUGCUUUCAUGAGUUUAACUCUUCUUCUCUCAUCAACCAUUUUUGCUCCAAUGUUACCAUUUUUUUCACCAACCAUCACCCGAAGAGCUUAGCUUGGACAUAAUCUUUAGGUUAUCUCAAAGUUUCUUUGUGAUUUAGCAAGUUUGUUCAUGAGUCAACCAAAUAUUGGAUUUAGGUAUCAGUCUGAUACCGAUCAUGGUUGAGGUAGAUAUGACUCGGCUGAGUCUUACCGAUUUCGACCAAGAUUUUGAACCCUGUUUGAGCUCUGUAUUUCUUUGCACAAUACUAAUUUUUGAAGGCUUAUAAAAUAACCUUACGAAGAUACAAGAUGAUGGAAAUACAAAUACAAGGAUGAAGAUGCAAAGGGUUUGAAGAGUUUGAACUCUCCAUACUUCUUGAUUCGUUCCCAAUUGGUGUCUCAGCUGAUUCAUGUCCAGCUGGUGCUCUUUGAUUGAGAGAGUAAUCAACAAAAUUUAUAACCUAUAUCACUAUGCAUUAGGAUAGCUUUAGCUAAUAUAGCAUAGUGGCUCUAGGAUCGUUCACUGGGAAGGGUUUUCAACUCACAACUGAUACCAAUUCAAAGUUAAAUUGGUACUUUUUCAUUUCAAGGUUAGCUUAAGAAAAAAACACAAACUUUGUUUAAAUGAGGUUUUGUUUAAAGGUAACUAAAAAGAAAGUAAUGGAAAUUACUUAUGAAGAAAAACAUUCCUUGGAGGUUUAGGUUCACAGGGGAGGUUUCUUAUGCAAAAACAGAGCUCCGGUCAUUUGGUUCAUUUCCUCGCAUUAGAGAAUUAACAUAUAGUCAAUUCUCUAACCGGUGCUGCACAGAUGUAUCCUUUAAAUGGAUUUCAACUCUAAUUCCCUCUCACUGAUGCAACUUGCAAUGGCUCGUGCCUCUCACCUAGCAUUUUCCAUUCAAUGUGAUCUUUAACUUUGGACUUCUCUUCUCAAGCUCGCAAGAGAUAACUAACGGAUGUCUCCUUGGAGUCCAAAAGCUUACCAAGUGUUGGCAAUUCUAGAAAAUCCUACCUCCAAGUCACUUCCCAAAAGCCCGCAAGAGAUAAACAAGUGCAUCUCCAUGGACGGAGAUCACGUGCCUUACCAAGUGUUGGCUUAAGUGAAUUGAAGGUAUUUUAAGUUAACUAAAAACAUAUAAAUCAUUAAAGGAUCACACUUUCUCUUCAUUAAUGACUGAAACCACAAAGCUACUAAUUCUUGCACUUGGAACCUUUCCCGGCAACCUUAACUCCAAGGAACUAAAAGUCUAGCCACUCAUUCUAUGAGGAAACUUCCUCAGAGCUUGUUUGGCUAGUAAGAAAACUAACGAGAAAACAAUUAUAUGAAGGAAAAACAGAGCAAGUGCUCUAUAAAAUAUAUUUCUUUUUUCUGCCGAUUACAUAAUAUAUCUUUGUAAAGAAAAUUACAAACUAUAUAUAUGAGGUUAUUCACCCUUUGUACUUACUUAAAGACUAAGGAAUCCUAUGAUAGGUGGGUUACAAGGAGACUUUGGGAGGUGGGUUACAAGGAGACUUUGGGGAUUUAGACAACAAAUAUUUAAAGCAAAAUAUCUCAGGAUGUCGGUCGGAAAUAUCAAGAAGCUUCAGGAGAACACCGUGGCACUGUAUACUGAGAGAAAAACUCUCCUGGUAAGCGCUAUCAGAGGAUCCGGAUAAGUUUGACCGGAGAAGUUGAAACGUCCUCCUCUCCCAUCCGGCUGCGAGAUAUCCAGAUGUAAAAUGUCGGCGCACAGAAUUCCGGAUGUGAAAUGUCGACGCACGGAAUUCCUCCCCUGGUGGACUAAGCUAUGUUGCGCAAGGGGGACCGUCUGCGUGUGCAAGGUGUAGGGACCCCUCUCCCGGAUGACACGGAAUGCGCAAGGCUAUCCGGAUCAACUCCAUCCGGAUUCCCCAAGAGGACAUGUGGCGUGCUCCCCUAUUCAGACUCCCUCAGGUUGAAGCACACAGCACUCGUGAUCAUCACACCCGGACGAUAGCAUAUCCUAUCCGGAUAUGUUGUCCGGAUCAUUGACUUCCGCCGUCAUCCGAUGGUGUGUCCGGACAUCUUUUACUCCUUGCAUUCCAGAUUUGCUUAUGGAAAAGAACCUCAAAGCUUUGGUUCUUCAUAUUUCUGAGCUUUCCAUUGCUUUGCCAUGGAUUCCAAAGAACUCUCCUCAAUCACGGAUUGCUUUGGUGAUAAAAAAGCUAUCAAAACACCAAAACUUAACACAAUUUGAUUAGAAUUGAUUGCAAGGGUCCUUAAUAUGUUAAUUGGGUUAAAAUGUGAUAACUACUACUCAAAAGUGUUUAAAAGAGUUUAUUACAAGCUAUCAAAUAGCACUUUUUGAGUAGUAAUCACUUCUUCACUACCAUGGGUUUCGAUCUUCUUCUCUCAUCCACCAUUUUCCCUCCAAUAUUACCAUUUUUUUUCCAUCACCCAUUACCCGAAGAGCUUAGUUUGGACAUAAUCUUAGGGUUAUCUCAAAGUUUCUUUGUGAUUUAACAAGUUUAUUCAUGAGUCAACUAAAUAUUGGACUUGGGUAUCGGUUCGAUAAUAGUCAUGGCCUAAGAUUUUGAACCCUUUUUUAGCUCUCUAUUUCUCUGCGCAAUACCCAUUUUUGAAGGCUCACAAAAUAACCCUACAAAGAUAUAAGAUGAUAGAGAUGCAAAUACAGGGAUGAAGAUGCAAAGCGUUUGAAGACUCUGAACUCUCCAUACUUCUUCACUUUCAUAGGUUUCGAUUUUCUUCUCUCAUCCGUCAUUUUAGCUCCAAUAUUACCAUUUUUUUGCAUGACCUAUCACUCGAAGAGCUUAUUUUGGACAUAAUCUUAGGGUUAUCUCAAUUUUUUAUUUUAUUUUUGUGAUUCAACUAGUUUAUUCAUGAGUUAACCAAAUAUUAAACUCGGGUAUUGGUCUAGUACCGGUCAUGGUUGAGGCGGAUAUUACUCGGCCGAGUCGUUUUGAUCUCAACUGAGAUUUUGAACCCCAUUUAAGUUCUUUAAUUCUUUUCACAAUACCCAUUUUUGAAGGCUCACAAAAUAACCCUACGAAGAUACAAUAUGAUGAAGAUGCAAAUAUAGGGACGGAGAUGCAAAUGGUUUAAAGACUUUGAGCCCUCCAUAUUUUUUCACUCUCAUGGGCUUCGAUUUUCUUCUCUCAUCCACCAUAUACGCUCCAAUAUUACCAUUUUUUCCAUUACGCAUCACCCGAAAAGCUUAGUUUGGACAUAAUCUUAGGGUUAUCUCCAAGUUUCUUUUUUAUUCAACAGGUUUAUUCAUGAGUCAACCAAAUAUUGGACUUGGGUAUUAGUUCGGUAUUGGUCAUGGCCGAGGUGGAUAUGACUUGGCCGAGUCGUACCGGUCUUAAUUGAGAUUUUGAACCCUAACUGAACUCUCCAUUUAUUUGCACAAUACCCAUUUUUUUAAGGCUAACAGAAUAAGCCUACGAAGAUACAAGAGGAUUGAGAUGCAAAUAUAGGAAUGAAGAUGAAAAGGGUUUGAAGACUCUUAACUCUUUAUACUUUUUCACUUUCAUGGGUUUCAAUCUUCUUCUCUCAUCCACCAUUUUUGCUCCAAUAUUACCAUUUUUUUCCAUUACCCAUCACCCAAAAAGCUUAGUUUGGACAUAAUCUUAGAGUUAUCUCAAAGUUUCUUUUUUAUUGAACAAGUUUAUUCAUGAGUUAACCAAAUAUUGGACUCGGGUAUCGAUCCAAUACCGAUCAUGGCUGAAGCGGAUAUGACUCGAUCAAGUCGUACGAGUCUCAAUCGAGAUUAUGAACCCUAUGUGAGCUCUUUAGUACUCUACACAAUACCCAUUUUUGAAGUCUCACAAAAUAGUCCUACAAAGAUGCAAGAGGAUAGAGAUGCAAAUAAAUGGAUGGAAAUCCAAAGGGUUUGAAGACUCUGAACUCUCCAUAUUUCUUCACUUUCAUGGGUUUCGAUAUUUUUCUCUUAUCCACCAUUUCCACUUCGAUAUUACUAUUUUUUUCCAUCACCCAUCACCCUAAGAGCUUAGUUUGGACAUAAUAUUAGGGUUAUCUCAAAUUUUCUUUGUGAUUCAACAAGUUUAUUCAUAACUCAACCAAAUAUUGAACUCGAGUAUCGGUCCGAUAUCGGUCAUGGUGGAGGUAGAUAUGAGAACAACCAAAUAUUCAAUUUUUUUUUAAAUUUAUAAUGUGCAUUUACUACAAAGCAAUCUUUAAAAUAAAAUAAAACUACCAUUGAUAAUUAGGUUACACUUGACAGCAAUUUUAGGAAGUGUUUUUAAUCUUUCUAAUACUUGAAAAAUAACAAUAGUGGUUUUAAGAAACGUUUCUAACUUUUUUAAUGGACAAUUGCAAAUUAGGAAAUAAAUAUGUAAAUGGGUACCAAUUUUUCUAAAAGCUUUUAAACUUUUUUCUAUUUUGGGUUAUAAUGUGUAUCAUGUUAUUAACAAUAUUUUUGCUUUUAUUUCAUGUCAAAUAAUAUAAUUUUUAACUUUAGAAGAGUCACAAACAAUAUUUGUGUUUACCCUAAAAUGCUUUUUCCUCGUAUGCAUUUCAGGGUGUAGGGAUUCUCAUGGAAAAUACUUCCCAUGGCUGGCAUGGGAGUUGAAGAAUUGUUGCAUGUGCAGCCAAAGGUAAAAGAGGGAUUCAUGUGUUACCUGAAUUGCAUUUUAUCUGAUUUACAAUUUGAUUAUAUGUAUGUUUGUGCAGUCUGGUGCUUGUGUUGCUCAUUUCUAUAUGUGCUAAAUGGAGGAUUUCUUUUUCAUCCAAAACCCUAGUAUUGCAGGAGAUAGUUGCUUUAUGGGUCAGUCUUCUUACCAAAUCUUAACUCUAUGCUGACUUCUUUUUCUUUGAUUUCCUACUCUUUGUUCUGCAUAUGUGUUUUCAACCUAACUAUUUUCAUAGGGAUCAAUGGAAAUUAUGAUUUUUCAAAGAAUAUUGAAAGUAGAAGAAAAUUAAGCAUUUGUGAAAUAUGGAGGAGCAAAAUGAUUUCUUAGUUUUAGCACAUCAGUUUACAGAAGAUAUUGUAAUUUCACAUGAUGAAAAUGAAGAGGGGAACCCAGAUUUCCAAUGGAGGGACUUUUUGGGCUUGGGGGACUAGAAAUGCAAGAUAUAAGUGCAAAUAUUGGAGUUACCCAACCAUAAAUCUGUCCGAAAAACUCGCUUUAAGGGGAGGAUGUUCCUCAUACACAAGAUGGAUUUAGCAUGGGGAUAAUUAGAUCCUAGAUGUUUGUAAGACUCAAUUCUAUCCAGUUUGCGUCCUUUUGGGGCUCCAUCAUGUGGGUUCUUUCCCCUUUUCGGUCAUCUUAAACUGGCUCUGAUGGUUGUUCGAUUGGUAACUCCGAAAGAUCAGAAUAGCUGUAUCUGCUAAGAUAAUGGAUGAAAUGAUAUGCUAACUUGGCAACUCGAAAAUAAUGGCCCGUGUCUUCCUCCUAUUAGGGUAUAUUGAAUUCUAAUUCAAGAAAAUUUUGCAGUAUUCAGGGUGGAAGCAGAUCACUUAAUCUUUUGUAGUAGGGAUUUAAGAGGUUUAGGCAGAUGCUUGAAGGUUUAUUCAUACUUAUUGUGAAGCAGAUCAUCUGGAAAACUGGGGAGUUAUCAUGCUGAAGACAUUUUUCUCCUUAUUGAAGUUUUCCAAACAAACCCUUCCAUCUAGGGUGAAUUAUUGGUUUCAUUUGGCUGAGUAGGAGAUUUCAGAUAGAAGCCAUCAAUCCUGGUCCUCAAGGGUGGAGUGGUAUGAUUACCAUCUAUGUAAAGACUUUGAAAUUUUUUUGUCAUUAACAAGCAUUUGUUGAUAAAUUUGCUUACCAUCUUCCACAAAUGAAAUUAUGGUUUUGAGUGUAUAAUUAUAACUGCUUAUGAUGAAAGGGAAAAACACCGACAAAGGACUCACUGGUUUUUUCUGCACAAAUGGGAGCAAUCUGUUAUUCUGGUUUCUUAUUACACACAAGCAAAACGAUCAUUUAUAGUUGUAAAUAGAGAGCUCUUCUUCUUACCUAGACUGAAAGUGACGGAGGUUUACUAUUUUAAGUUCAGUGACAUGUCCACAUUUUCUUCCUUUGCCUUACGAAGUGUUUCAAAUCCCAUUUCUUUCCAGACAUUCUUUAGCCUUUGAGCAACCGAAGAGAUAAGGGGACGCUUUUGGGGGUUCUCUUCUGUGCACAUCAUCCCUGCAUCGAGCAUGUGGAUACAGCAUUGCUCAAGCUUAUGUAAAGCACCACUCCCCUCUUCCAAAUAUGCUUCGUGCUUCAGUGAGAUGUCUACAAUAUCCAAAACUUGAUUUGGAAAAGCAGAACACACCCAUUUCCUUAGAUCAAGUCCAUCUGAAAACAUUUCAUUCGUUGGUCUCUUCCGUGUUAUCAUCUCUAACAUCAUCACUCCAAAACUGUAUACAUCUCCUCUUGUUGAGACAUCGAUCCCCUGCCCAUAUUCUGUGUACAAGCAAUAGGAACUAUUAGCUGAAUCACUGUACUUUUAUUUAUAUCCCUUCAAAUUAGGAUAGUCUGUUUAAAGAAAGAGACAUGGAUAGAUGCAGUUGGUUCAUAUUAACUAUCUGAAUAUCACAAGAAUGCAAGCAUCCUUCUUUUUCAUUUAGAUGUAAAUGCUUCUCAUUGGAAAAGCGAUUAGGAAACUAUCUGAAUAUCACUGUACUUAAAGAAAAGCGGGAGAAUAACCAACAAGACAUACCAUGUUGUUAAACAAAUUUAUCAUAAUGGUAUAUGAGGAAACACACAAAACCCUAUUUUUUCUUCUCGACUUCUAUCCUAUUAUUAACAGUUAGUUCUCUAGAAUAUAUGACCAUUGGGUAGGCAGUCAAAUGAAUGAAAACUAGACUAGUUUGAAGUUCAUGUGAGAUGAAAGAUUGGCAUUCAUGAUUAAAAGUAAUUAUCUAGUCUGAUAACUUAUCAUUUACUUCUCAGAUUUGAAGGUAGGUCGCUAACUUUUCCAAGAAGAUUCAAAGGGAUUAUGAAGCAUAGGAUUGAAGAUUUAUAUAAGGUAAUCAAAUGCAUACCUGGGGGGAUAUACCCGACAGAUCCUCGUAGAAAAGCAGUUGUGGUAGUAACAUGUCCUCUUGGUUUGUCACCUGAAAUGAGCUUUCCAAUACCAGAAUCUCCUACAUGAGCCACCAUAUCAUUGUCCAAAAGAACAUUUUGUGGUUUCAGGUCACAGUGUACAACUUGAACAGGACAACCCUCAUGAAGAUACUCCAAGCCAUUUGCAACAUCUAUUGCUAUUCCCAUUCUUUCCCUCAAUUUUAAUUCACUACCUCCUUCAUCUGACCCACCAGGGUAAAGAUGCUGUUCCAAGUUCCCAUUGCCUAUAUACUCGAGAACAAUAGCCUUGAAUCCUGAAUUCCAGGUCGAUCCUAUCAUUCUAACCAGAUUCCUAUGUCUAAUUUCAGACAGUAUUUGACACUCCCUUUUAAAACUUCUGUAACCCUGAACACGCUCUUCUUGCAGAACCUUAACUGCCACAACAGUUUUUCCAUCAUUGAUGAUAGCUUUAUACACCCUACCAAAACUUCCUUCCCCUAAUAGAUUAGCCUCAUCAAAACCGCCAGUAGCAAUUUCGAUUUCCCUUUCAGUUAAAGUUUGGGUUCCAUGAUGGGUUGGGGAAUACAUUAGAAUUGCAGUCUCCGCACCUGCACUCCUAUUUUUGAAGAAGAAACGACGAACAGUGAGGGCGAUCAGCACAAAGAGAAGCAGAGAACAAGUUAAUAUUGCAAACAGGUAAUAAAUCCAUUUCCUUUUCUUGUGCUUUUGUUUCAGAAUUUCACAUGGAUGGAGACCCAUAAGUUUGGUGCCACCACAGAGCCCCAUAUUCCCCAUGAAUGAGCUGCUUCCUAGAUUUUUAUACCUCCCACUAUUUGGAACCUCUCCUGUUAAUCUGUUAUACGAUAAAUUGAGAUUCUUGAUCUUCUGGCUGUCACCAAUCCAGAUUGGAACAUUUCCUGUUAAAUUAUUGAAAGCCAAGUCCAGAUAUCCUAGAUCAAUGAUUUGCUUCAGGGACUCUGGGAUUGUACCUUCAAGCAUGUUGUGAGAGAGGUUCAGAUACUCCAUUGAAAUGCAUCUUCCAAUCGAACUUGGUAUCACUCCGAAGAAUUUAUUCGCUGACAAGUCAAUUGCCAGCACAGAUGCCAGAUUUCCAAUACUAGCAGGUAGUUCUCCUUCAAGAUUGUUGUUCGAAAGGUUGAGUGAAAGAGCCAGGUUUGAGAAAUGACCAAUUUCUGUGGGAAGAGACCCUUGUAAGUUGUUAAAAGACAAAUCAAGAAGCAUUAGAAGAGAACAUUGGGUGAGUUCGAUGGGAAUUUUCCCUGUGAGGUGGUUGUGAGACAAGUAAAGAUAUCUCAACUGUGACAGAUUACCAAGAGAAGAUGGGAUUGUCCCACUAAUCAAAUUAUCACUAAGUUCCAGUAAACCAAGGUUAGCCAUCUGCCCAAGUUCAUCUGGAAUUGGCCCAAGAAGUUUGUUUCUUCCCAAGUGUAAUCUCUGCAACUGCCUAAGCUUCCCAAUUGUUGCAGGAACUCCAUUCAAAAAAUUAUACCACAGGUCUAGAGUCACAAGGCCGCUUAGAUUUCCAAUUUCAGCUGGUAGGUCUCCUGUUAAUUUGUUGUUUCGAAGAUUCAAGUAGUAGAGAUCUUUGGAAAGACUGCCAAUUGAAGCCGGUAAACUUCCUGCAAACAGACAUGCCCCUAAGUGCAGUUUCUGUAGACGUGAACAAUUAGUGAGAGGAGUUAGAAAACUGAGGGAAGAGUUGUUGGAACCGCUCACCAGGUUAUUGCUAUGAAGGUAAAGUCUCUCAAGUUUCUUCAACUUCCCCAACUCAGGAGGGACUUCCCCCUCUAACUGGUUGAGGCUAAGAUCAAGCAGUGUCAGCUGAGAAAGAUUGGACAGGGUCACUGGAAUUUUCCCAGAAAGUUGGUUUUCUUGGAAGUACAAUCUCUGCAAGUUAUGGAGCUUUGACCCCAAUUCGAAAGGGAUUGUUCCCGUUAACCGAUUCUCAAUCAGUGUAAUGUGACGCAGGGCAGUGCAAUUACUGAUGGAUGCAGGUAUGCUUCCUUCCAAAAAGUUGAUGUGGAGGUACAAUAUCUCCAGCUUUGUUAAUGCUCCUAGCUCCUCUGGAAUCCUUCCUGUGAAGUAAUUAACUUGCAAUUCUAAAUCUGUCAGCUUUGUCAGAUUCGAAAGAAACGAUGGUAUAGCUCCAGUGAGGCUGUUCUCAGAGAGACAAAGGUAUGUCAAGUUUGUCAUUUGGCCUAGUACAGCAGGAAUGCUUCCAGUCAGAUUGUUAUAGUCCAAGUCUAUUGUCUCCAGGCUCCAGCAGCCUUGUAUUGAGGCUGGAAUAUUGCCCCCAAGCUUAUUACCACUCAUGUUUAUGAAUGUUAACUCAGAAAGCUCUCCAAUGGUAGCUGGGAUCUCUCCAUACAAGCUGUUGGCUUGCAAAGAGAGGGUGGUGAGAUGGGAUAGAUUGGAUAUGUAUGGUGAGAUAACUCCCUGUAAGCGCAUGUUUAUGAGCUCAAUGGCUAUGACCCGGUUCUUAAGUUGCUGGUGGCAUGUAAUCCCUGUCCAGUUGCAGAAGAACCUGGUUUCAUUCCAAUCUUGGAGAUGACCAUCUGGAUCACCUGUUAUGCCUUGUUUGAAUUUGAGCAGAGAUUGACAAUCAGUGGAGUUUUUGCAGAGGAAUGUGGAAGUUGAUAGUAGAGCAAGACAACUAAGAGAGAAAAACACUGCCACAGCAACGGGAUUGUUCUGAUUGUAUGCCAUUCUCUCUCUCUCUCUCUCUCAGUGUGUGUGUACAGCUUUUGGAAUUCGAUGUUAGAUUUCAGGCCAAAAGUUUUUUUUCUCACUUGUUAGGUAAGAUGGGAUGAACAAUCAAUUUUCUUAAAAGUUUAAACUUAACGUGUAUCAUACUUUUCAACACUCGACGGGAUCAAUGGUAGAAGUUUAAAUAGAUGGGCUCAGUUGCUCAAAUGGUUCAGACAACUUGGCCUAGUGAGGGGCAGGUGGUGAGCCCUCAUUUAUCACUGGGACCAUAGAGCAAGACUUUUUGGUAUUGCCAUCACCUGUCUUAACUUCAUUCAACCUCUUCAAUGCUGUUUGACAUUUUCUUCCGUGACAGAAUUAAUAGCUAUGCAGUUUCCCAAAAUUUGCUCCGAACCCAUUGUCAUUUUUUUUUCUUCAUAUUUUAUAUUUUGUAUUUAUUUAUUUUUAUAUUAUUAUCAUUUAUUAUUUAUUUUAUUUUUCUUUCUUUUUCUUUUAUUUAUUUUAUUUUCUUCUUCCUUUCUUCCUCCAUGCAUGCACUACCAUUGUCACUUUUUUCUCUUUCUAAGGAUUUGCAAUUGACUCUAUUGAUAUUUUGUUGGUUGAGCAUGGAUUUAUGACUUAUAACACACACAUGGAAGGUUGAAUUUCAUGAAAGAAAAUGAGGGUUAGAAAAAUAAUAAAUGGGAAACAUUGAGCUUAUUGUGGGUUUGAUUUGGUACAAAUUCUUUUGUAUAUAUCUACUUGGGUAUACAAUUGAAUAUUUAAUUUAGGAAAAUUCAAAAAAUUGUUUUCAAUGAAAUUAAAAAAAAAAAUUAAUAACAAUUGCCUGGAAAUUUAUUUAUUUAAUAAACAUUGUUUUGUCAAUAAAAUUGUCAUCAAAGUUAAUUUUUAAUAAAAUUAUCUAAAAAAGUGAAUUUAUAAAUGAAAUUCUAUUUCCUUAAUUUAAAUGGGAUAAAAAGUAAUUUUUGUAAAUUAAAGUCUUAAAUAAUUUUUUCAUAAUAAUAGAACGAGAAUCUUUUUAGCAAAUUGAACUUAUACAAAUUAUUUUCUUUUCGUAAAUAAAGUUUGUAAAGAAAUUAUUUUCUUUAUAAAUAAAAUCAAAAUGAAAUAUUUUUACAACUAAAAGAAUAUUUAAUUGAGCAAGUGAUGAACUAUUUGCUUGUUUAAGUAACCUUUUGAAAUGUUCCCUCAGCAUAAUGGUAGUACAAUAAGAGGGUUUAUUAUGUACUUCUUUCUAUAUGGACUUUGGGUAUAAUAAAAACAAUGCUUUCUCUCUCUCUCUCUCUCUCUCUCUCUCUCUCUCUCUCUCUCCCCCUAGUCCACAGGUUUACACCCUCAGCUUUACCCUGGACUAAGUCCUGAAACCCAAAGAUUAUGCAGAAUCAAACUCUUAAAGUCUACAGCAUGAGUUGAAGAAAAAAGGAUGAGUAUUUAAUGUAGUAGUUGAGGAAUGAUUCAAUGUUUGAAAUAUAAAAAAUGCAAUCCAUUGAACACUUAGCUGGACUAUCUGCUUAUUGUAUACAUAAAACAUAGACUAAUCCGAAGACUUCUAUGUUAUAACUUUAGAAUUUUCAUAUCCAAGGUUUUCACUUCUUUCUCAUCAGAAGACAAAGAUUGUAACUGUUGCAGAAAACCUAACAACCUAGUUUAUUUGUUAAGGUCCCUUUCUCUCAUAAGACAUAAAUAUAUUCACUAUCAAACACCAUAAUGAUAAUAAUAAUGAUCUUCUUUUUGCUGUAUAUACACUACUUUAGAGUUUGUUCAAUGUUUGGUUACCAAGAAAACAGAAGGACUGAUCUGCUGCAUUAAAAGGUUAAGUAAUCCUGAAUACUUUCACUUCAUUUUGCCAUAUGUAGUUCUUCCAUUAGCUAGCCAUUUGGAACUAAAUCUUGUGGAGAACUUUUCAUAUUGGAGAUGGAUAUGAAAUUGGAUCUGCCUCCACCUCAUUGAACUUCACUUUCAACAUAUGCAUUGAGAAUAUUUAAGUUAAGAUCAGUAUACUAACUAACCCUACAUAAAUUAACAUGUAUUGGUGAAAACACUUAUCCUUGUAAGUGAGAAAGCAAAAAAAAAAAAAGAAAAAAAAAAAAGACCUACCCAUUGAAGACCAUCUAUAAAUUGACAUGUUUCUCAUGCAAAAAUUUUCACCCCUCACCUAAACACAAAGAUUUGUGAUUGUUUGGAGACAGUACUCUAACAAUGGAGAAAGGUGUUAGUUUCCUAGUAACUGUGGCCCUCAUGGCAUUGGCUUCAUCUUUUGCCUCUGCCUCUGAUCCAAGCCCACUGCAGGACACUUGCGUUGCCAUUGGGGAACCCAAGAAUGCUUGUAUUUCUUUAGUAACCAAUGAACUUGUCACUAUUUUCACUGAUCUUUCCAAUUCAAUAUUGGGCACAUUAAUGCAGUAGCCAUUGCUGGUCUAAGCAGCCAAAAUCCAGGUGUAAUCACCAUAUCCAAUGCAGUGUUUGGAUCAAAUCCACCAAUCAAUCCUGAUUUCCUGGCAACGGCCUUCCAGUUGGACAAGAAGGUGGUUGAAUUCCUUCAAGCACGAUUCUAGUGGGGAAAUAGAGAAAAUGAAGAAGCUAUGAACCUUUGAUUUGCUUGCUUGAAUGACUAUUUGUGAUGUUCAAUUACCUCAUUACAAUAAGAGGGGUUUAUUACUUUAUUUUGUAGCUCUUUUGGUGUGGACUUUGGUCCUAAUAUUAAAAUAAAGCAGUUUGUCUGUUAUGCAUCUUCUUCUGUCUCCAUCUCAAUAUUUGUCUUAAAAAAUCUUAUCUUGUGAAAAAACAACUCUCAGUUGAUUGAUUAACCUGCAUGUGCAGAAUGUUUAUUAAGAAUGAAUACUUAACUAGUUGUAAAACAGUACUACUGCUACUUCCAGCAUACUGCUGGCAGAAUUGGUGAUGAAGGAAUGAACAUUGAGGCAACAACUGCUGAGAAUUCAAAAAUAAAAAAGAUGCCAUUUUGCUUCUCUAUAUUUUCCCAUUAUAACUCAUCAACCGAGAUCGAAGAAACUAAUUAAGAUGUCCAAGUAAACCAUUUGAAUGGUGGGAGAAGCAUAAGUGUCAUGAAAAUUGUGAAGAAAGAAUGGAAAUGAAAACCCAGAAAUCUUAUGACAUCUACUGUAGACAAAUUAAUGUCUUAAAUAAUCUUUUCAUAAUAAUAGAACGAGAAUCUUUUUAGCAAAUUGAACUUAUACAAAUCAUUUUCUUUUCAUAAAUAAAGUUUAUAAAGAAAUUAUUUCCUUUAUAAAUAAAAUCAAAUUGAAAUAUUUUUGUAAAUAAAGUUCUAAAAAUUCAUUCUUUUUCUAGUAAAAGUAAGUCAAAAUAAUUUUUAUUGUCAAAUUGGAAUUUUUUGAAUAAAUUCUAUCCAAAUAAAAUUCAAUCAAAUCAUUUAUUGGAAAUAAAUAAAUAAAUUAAAAUCUUGAAAAAGUAAUAUUUAAAAUAUCUUUUUGUAAUCAAUUUAAUAAAUCGGGGUGUAUAAUUCUAAUGUCAUUUAUUUUGUACAUUUUUGUAAUUUAAUUUUAUAAUUAUUUUCUUGUAUAUUAAUUUGUGUCUUUAAUCUUGAUAUUCAUGAUUGAUCAAUUAACUGUCAUAAUUCAUUUUGUUUGUUUAGUAAAGAUUGUUAGUAUACAUGCUUAGAGGGGUAUUACCACUUAUUAUUGUACCUUUCUGAUAGACAACUUGACCCUUGAAUAUAGACUUGAUUUUACAGACAUGUCUUUUCUAAAUGAGGAUUUAUACAAAAUUUUCUUUCUUAUUUUAUUUUCUCUUUUAAAAAAUAAAUUAAAAUAAGUGGCAAUCCUAAUUUUUUUAUAUAAAAAAAAAAAAUCAAAAUUUCACAAUAAAAAUGAGUCUCACUGUCGAGUGGGAACACACGCAAAAAAUACGGGUCAACAUGUAUCCAAUUGAUUGGGGUCAAUGUCAAGAUGUAUGAUAAAGAUGCAAAAUUUGAAUAUGAAUCCUACCAUUGAUUGAAUCUUGAACUACCUGAUACUGGUUGUAACAAGUGAGAUAAGUUGCUAAGGUUUGCAUUGAAAUCCUCAAUUGAAAGUUACUAGUCAUCCAAAUAUGUAUAUAAAUCAAAGUGCACACAAUUGAUUUUCUUUCUCUUCUAAAUCCAAGAAAUCAACCUCCUUAAGCAAAAGACCUUAGAAUUCUUAGAGUGUGUUUGAUAGUGAUUUUAGGAAGUGUUUUUAACUUUUUUAAUAAUUGAAAAAUAAGAAUUUUGAAGUGUUAAAAAUGUUAGAAACGCUUCCUAAAAUCACUAUCAAACGCACUUUUAAUGUAAUUUGCUCUAUGUACCACUUGAUGUGGAUGUUAAGAUUGAUAUCCUUGGUCAUUGCCUAUAAUCCUAUAUCUAUAAUAGCAAGAAGACAUACAUUGAAACAUGAAUACCCUUUCACUAUGUUUGGUUUAUGGAAAAUACUAAGAAAAGAAAAUGUUCUGAAAAAUGUUUUUCUUAUAUUUAGUUUUAUUAUGAAAAAUAAGAAAAAAAUAAAAUAUAAUUAUAAUUAAUUAAAAUUUUAUGUAUUUUAAAAUUAUUUAAUAUUUAUAUAAUGAAGGAAAAUAAAUGAAACAAGCUUGAAAAAGUAUAUAAAAAUAAUUUAUUAAUUAUAACUUGUAUGCGACUAUUUUGUACUUUAAUCCCGUUUUUCUUUUAUUCUCUUGUAGGUACCUUGAUUUUAUAUAUUUGUAUCUUUAUUCGAUGAUUUAGAUUUCAUAUAUUUGUAUCUUUAAUUGAGAUUGCAAGAUCCGUACGGAUUCAGAUUAGGGAUGACAACGGUAUGGGCUUGAGGCAAGUUACUCAUAUCCCAAUCCAUUAUAUUUAUUCGUAUAUGUUAUCAUCCCCACCAAAAAAAGAAAUUAAAUGGGAAUAGGAAAUUCUCAUGCCUACCCCAUGCUAUCCCAUUAUUUAUUUAUUUAUUUUUCAAUUUUUAUUUCUAAAAUUUUAAGAAAAUUAAUAUUUUAAAUAUGUUAAAAAAAUUGAAAACUGAAAAAAGAAAUCAAUUAAAGAACUUUUUAUUUAACAUUAUACAUAAUUAGGCUGAGGUAGGAUGAAACAAACUCAUACCCAAAAUCACCCUGAAUCAAUCUUGGGUUUUUAAAAAUUUCUCAAAUUCAAGAUGAGACAAAAUCAUAUCCAAAACUAUCUCGAAUCCAUCCUAGAUUUUAAAAAUUUUCUCUAAUUUAUCUAAACUUUAUAUCAUUAUCUCAAAACGAGUACAUUAAGGGUAUGACAAGUACUAAAAAAAAAUUGGUAUAUUGUCAUCCCUAAUCAAGAUCCUAAAAUUUUUCUUUAUGAUAAUGAAAACAACAAUCAUAGUCGUCAUCUCUCUAUCAGUGUACUUUUUAGGUUUGAUCGAAUACACCUUAUGUGUUGCCUUUGGGGCAACCUAGCUCUCUCAAUCAUUGUCUAAAGUUCGGGUGUUUGUUUGUUUUAAUUUUUUUCGACUUUUUUUAAUACUAAAAGUAACUUAAUGACUUUUUUUUAACUUUUUAGUACUUAAUAAAAAUAAAAUAUUAAAAAACCAAAAACUGUGAUGUUUAAUACUUUUAAACACUAUAUAAUUUUAAGUUUUAUUCAAAAUUAAGUAAAAAAGAAAAAAAAAACACUCCUUUGAUGGUCAUCUAAAACUUUUAGGUCAAAGCUUGAUUUGGAGCUCAUUUAAACCUAACCCAAACUUCAACUAAAAAGACCUAUGUCCAACACAAUUAUUAGAGGUGUCCAAUGGGUCAUGUCGGGCCAACACAACCCAUGUUUAUCAGGCCAAUGCGUUGGCUCGACCCAUGCAAGCCAAAUAGGUGGCUUGACAUGGCCCAUAAACCCAUGGGCUAAUCAUGUCGUGUUGUGCCAUGUCGGUGAGUCGCCCCAUGGGCCACACACUUUAAUUAUUAUUUUUUAAUUUAUUUUGUCUUAAGUUUUUUAUUAUUAAAUAAAAUUUCUUUUUGUUACUUUAAACACCUCUAAUAAUUAUACUUUUUAUUUUUUAUAUUUAUAUUUAUCAAGUUUAUAACUGUAAAAUUUAUAAAAAUGUUAGUUUUUUGUUUUUAAAAAUAAUAAAAAGUGAUAUUUAAAGGGUUAAGUGGGCCAACAUGAUGGCACGACGGGUUGUUUCCUUAGGCCCACCACGACCCGCUCCUUUGGGCCAUGCCGGCCUGACUCGAUCUUUUGGCGCACUAGGCCACAGGCCAAAAUGGGUGGCUCGACCCAUUGGACACCUCUAGUAGUUACAUGUCUAGCAUCCAAACGGUAGACCAGGUGAGUUUUGUCAAACCCAACCCAUUCAUCCCCUUUGCUUCAUGUUGGCCACCCGGUUCAGACCAACCAUUGGGUUGAUUUGGGGUCUUGGUUAUUUUUGUUUAAAUAAAUUGCAAAGAAAAAAAAAACUUGGUUUGGAUAAAUAAACUUAAGUUGUUUUUAAAAUAAGCUUUUAUUUGAUUUUUUCUAAAAAAAUUUAUAAAUUCAAUUUGUACAAUAUUAAUUAUAUUUAAUUGAAGUCUUAUUAAAGAUUUAAAAAAAAAUAGUUUUUAAAUUAAAGAUAAAUUAAAAAAAAUCAUAAAAUAUGAAAUUAAUAUUAUAAUAAAAUCAUAAAUUAUGAUUUUUAUUUAAAAUGAUACUAUUUUAAGAUAUGAUUGAUUUAUUUAUUUUGAUAAGAAUGAAUAAUACUAAUUUUAAAAUAAUAAAAGGGUGAUAUAGUUUAUUUGAAAUAAAUUUAAAAAUAAAUAAAAUUUAUUUUUUUAAUACGUAAAUAAGCGAAGUUUUUCAUUAUAUCUACACCUGAGAAUUUAAUCAAGGAUAUAGUAUUUUGAACUAGUUUUGAUUCAUUCCUAUAAUCUUCAUUCAGUCAUUAUGGUUUAGACAAUUGAUAAUUAAUCUGUUGGCAUAAUUGAUUCUGCAAAACAGUAUCCUGAAUUUAGUAUCGAGGGAGGCAGAAACACAGCGAGAGAGAGAGAGAGAGAGAGAGAGAGAGAGAGAGAGAGAGAGAGAUGAUGCUUAACAAUUAACAGACUGCAGACUGCUUUAUUGUAGUAAUAUGCCCAAAGUCCACACCAGAAGAGUUACAACCAGACCCUCUUAUUAUACCAUGUUUGUUACAAUGAGGGAAUUGAACAUCAUGAAUCGUCAUUCAAGCAAGGAAAUCAAAGGUUGACAGCUUAUUCUUUUUCUAUAUUUCCCCACUAGAAUCGUGCUUGAAGGUAUUCAACCACCCUCUUGUCCAACUGGAAGGCCCUUGCCAGGAAAUCAGGAUUGAUGGGUGGAUUUGAUCCAAACAUUGAACUGGCUAUGGUGAUUACACCUGGAUUUUGGCUGUUAAAAGCGGCAAUGGCUACUGCAUUAGUGUGCCCAAUGUUGACUUGGAAGUGAAUGAGACUGAAAGGGAACACAAAAACAUCCCCCUUGUUCAGGACUUUGCUAAUGAAGCGGUGUUCAGGGUUGGAUGUGAUAAAGCCAACAAAGAGUGUUCCCUCCAAGACAAUGAAGACCUCACUGGCACGAGGGUGAAAGUGAGGAGGGUUUUGACCAUUAGGUUCAUAAUCGAUACGAGCCACUGACACCCCAAGAGUGUUUUCUCCUGGUAAUUGAUCAACAUUUAUAAGAUUGACAAUUGAGCCCACAUAAUUUGAUGUGUUUCCUGGAAUAUUCAGCCCUUGAUACAAGAAAUCCUCGGCCACGGUCAGGUUUGGGUUCUUGCAGAACUUCCCAUUUACAAAUACUGCAUGAAGAAGGAAAAAAGAAAAGAUAUAUCAUUAGUAUCAAACCAUACUCACCAUAUCAAUAAAAAGAGAAGUACUGAAAAUAGCUAUAAGAUCAUUGGUUACUAUAGAAAUACCAGCAUUAUUGGGCUCAUCAACGGCAACACAGGUGUCUUCCAGUGGGCUUGGAUCAUAGGCAGAGGCAAGAAAGGAAGCCAAUGCCAUGAAGGCCACGGUUACCAGGAAACUAACGCCUCUCUUCAUUGUUAGAGUACUGCCUCCAACAAUCACAAUCUUUAUCUUUAGGCGGGGAUAAGAAAUUUAGCAUGGAAAAGAUGUUAAUUUAUAGACCAGAGUCGAUGAGUUAGUCUUUGCAUAAACUCACCAAGUCUUCAAUGGGAAGUUUUUUCUUCUUUCUUUUUUCACUUUCGAGGACAAGCGGUUGCACCAAUACAUGUUGAUUUACGUAGGAUUAGUCAGUAAACAGAUCUUAACCAGAAUAUAAAGCAAUGUACAAUCAGGUGGAGGCAGGUCCAAUUUAAUAUCAAUCUGCAUGAUCCAAACGUUUACAUUGUUUCAACAUUUUUGUAUUAUGGUUUUUAUGAACUGUGUUUUUUUGAGUUGUAAGGAAGAAAAACUUAGGUUUAAAGUUCUAGCAUAGAAGAAAAAACCUGUAGAUUAAUUGAUUUUUUAAUCUGAACCAAACACAUGAUCAACUCCAUAAAAACAAGUGGAAAACAAGAAAAAAUGAAUGAUUUUUAAUAUGUAUUUGUGUGAGAAUGAUAGGUAUAGAUUUUUUUUUGAGAUAUACUGCCACAUAAUCUUCAUCCCUUCUAAAAAACGAGAGAGAAAAAAAAAAGAAUGAUUUUUCUGUUUGUAUCUAAGUGAGAAUGAGAUAUAGAAUUUCACUCCAGACGCAUUAAUUUUAUCUCAUACUGCCAUGCUAGACCAAAUCAGCCCUUAACGACAACCACACUGUUUUGUGGGGGGGGGGUUACUUUUGUUCCAUUAUAUUCACAGAAUCUUCAAAUCCAUUCUUUGGAUUAAUCUGCAUGAGGAAAUCUGUUACUGUUAGUGACGGAAACCUGUUAUUGUUAGUACCGGAGUCAACUGUUUGACUGGGUGGGUUCCAAUCAGAUCCUAAGGAAUGGGUCCAAAGGUCAUCCAUUAGAGUUAAUGGAAUUCAUUGUUGUUCUUGUGCCUUGAUGUGUGAGCCCAACACGCACAGAUGCAACUAGGGAUGGCAACGGGGCGGGUUUUUUCGGGUACCCGCCCUGCCCCGCCCCUAAUGGGAUGGGGUUGAAAUUUAAUAAAUGGGUUUUUAACGGGUAUAAGAUUUUUUUUUUUAAACCCGGGGCGGGUUCGGGUAUUGCCCCAUCCCGCCCCGCCCCGCCCCGCCCCGCCCCGCCCCGCCCCGUUUACAUAUAAAAUCAAUUUUAAAAUUUAAUUUAAUUUAAUUUAAAUUUUAAAAUUAAUUUUAUUUUACUAUUUUUAAUAUAUAGAUAAUAAAAAAAAAUUAAUAAAAUAAAUUAUAAAAAAUAUAAUAAUUUUAUUAUUUAUAAAUAUAUUUAUUUUAAUGUAAUUAAAAAUUUUAAAAGCAAUUUUUUUUUUUUUUAAAAAGGAGGCUAAACAGGGCUGGGCGGGGCGGGUUUGGGAAUUUCCCAUACCUGCCCCGCCCCGCCCCGCCCUGCCCCGUUUAAUUUUUUAAACGGGACGGGGAUGGGAAUUAUUUUUAAUAAACGGGGCGGGGUUGGGAUGGGGGCGACCCGUCCCGAACCUGCCCCGUUGCCAUUCCUAGAUGCAACAGUAUGAGUCAUGUGCAGGUAGAUUUGAAUAGACACAUCUUGGCAUCGGGAUGGCUUGAGCAAGGUGUAGUCUCCUACAAUAGGAAGCAUGGUGAACUGAUGCAUCACAUGAGCAAGACUCCUAUUGCAUGAGACAUACUCCUAUCACAUGAGACUUCUAGUCAAAGUGGGAGAUUGAGACCUAAUAUUGCAGGAAGAGAAAGGGACUCUUGACAUGAGAAGACUCCUAAUCGGGAUAGAAAACUAAAUCUUCAUGCAUAAGGAGAUAGAGAGAUGUGGCAUGAGAGUUUUAGAUUCAGUAGGACUUGGAGUCCUACUCAAAUUUGUCAUCUGUUAAGCUUGAGUCGGACGCAAACUAGGACUCAAAAGUUAGUCUCCUAGUAGGAUUAGGAUGGCUUGGUGCAACCUUCAUAAAAGGAGGGCGUGACCCAAUAGGAUGCUCCAAAAAUGGUACCUUACGUGAUAGGAAGGCCCCUUCAAAAGUCAUAUUGCUUGUACCACCAAGACACCACCACUAAGUAUUUGUCCAUAUCUUAAUCCAUGUGUGCAUGGAGAUGAACAUAAAUAUAUAUAGAAAAGAUAAAUAUUAGAAGACAAGUCUCCACAAAGAGACAAAAAUAUAGAAGGCUUCGGUCAACCAAUCCCGCUAUGCGUGGCAAAUGUUUCAGGGGACUGCGUAGGAUUGAACAGCCUUUGCUAGAGGGAAGAUCAAUCUAUGGGCGUGAAUAAAGAGAGAACUGGAGAAGUAUUGGAACAGGCGGGUCACCUCAGUUGACCAGGAAACAUGGCAUUAGUCAACGCAAACCUUGGCUUUCGAUCUCUACAUCGGUGCUGAAUAUUGUUGAACGGAAACACGUGGCCAGCUACAUUGGUUCUAGACAACAAAGGCUGCAACAAUUAACCUGAAAUUGAAAAUUUUGAAAUUUUUUUGAAAACAUAACAUCUUAAGAUGACUGGUAACCUUCUCUUAUUGGUUGGCUCUAAAUCAAAACCACUAUACAUGCAUUGUUCAAUGUAUAUAUGAUGUAGCAUUUUUGUGUUUUGUCUUUUACAAGUUGUAUAUAUUGGAAAAUUCUGACACCAUACAAAAACAUAGAAAAGCCACAAAUACCGCAACUUGCAUAUUUUCAUUUUAUGGCUGAAACUUUUCAAUGAAUCAUUAUCUUUAUUUCAAACUUUAAAAUUUUGAAAACAUAACAUCUUAAGAUGACUCGUAACCUUCUCUUAUUGGUUGGCUCUAAAUCAAAACCACUAUACAUGCAUUGUUCAAUGUAUAUAUGAUGUAGUAUUUUUGUGUUUUGUCUUUUACAAGUUUUAUAAAUUGGAAAAUUCUGACACCAUACAAAAACAUAGAAAAGCCACAAAUACCGCAACUUGCAUAUUUUUAUUUUAUUUUAAUUAUUUAUAGUUGAUUAGGUUUAUGGUAUGCCAUGUUGGAUGCUUUCAGAUUUUACAGAUCUAAGUUACUUUUAUUUUGAGAACGAAUAUUCCAUAAUUCAACCUUUUCCUUUUCUUGUUGGUAAUCAUGAUACAUAAAAUCUAGGAAUGCUAAACACAUCUUUUUUAAAAGUACUAUAUUGUAUUACAAUAGGAAAUGGCUUUUAUCAAAAGAGAAAUAUCCUUAAAUUGAUUAGGCCUAGCUCAUACUUUCAUCAACCAUAUGAUGACAUGAAAAAAAUCAAAGAAGAAAUAUGGGAAAUGGUACGAAAAGAGAUGGGUAGUAAUAACAUGAGACAACAACUUGUUUUACAACUAGUUGUAGCAGAAAAACCAAUGUUUAAAAUGAUAGAAGAGCCCCAACCACCAGAACCACCACUGAAACACAAGGUAUGCAUUUACUUACUAAUAAUACAAGAUUAAUAUAAGUGACAUAAAGCCUAUGUAAAUGAUAUUAUUUGUUGUAUUGAAGGUAAUUAAAUGUAAAUUAGCAGUGGAAAGAAAAGAAAAUGUUGUUCCAACUGGUACACUAAUAGAAGAAAAAGGAUCGAAUAGGUUGGUUGUAAUAAAUGCUGCACACAAGCCAGAUGCUAGACUCCCAUUUCCAAAUCCAUAUGAGAUUAUCAAUGUUGGGGAUGCUAUUGGCUUUGAGCUUGACUGGCCAACAAGCCUUGUCAUACUUGAAACUGAACAUCCUUAGGUAUGUCAUUUUAUGCCUAUAGUAAAUUUGAUUGUAACUUGGUAUUUUAUUGUUUAGGAGUAUAUAUAUCUAACAUUCCUUCCUUUUUCAUAGGUGUUGGAUAAAGGAAAGAAGAAGAUAGUGAAGACACCAAUUUUUUGAAAAUCUAAGCCUCAAAAUCAUUCGGUCAUUAAAAAUUUUCAAAAAUUUGUGGAUGGUUGUCUUGGUAAUGACAAGACAUACCCAAUACAGCUCCCCAUUUCACUUUUUGGUGUCGAAUUUCAAACAUAUAUAUCUAGAGAGGAUUGUGAAUACAUUAUUUCAUCUUUAGAGGUGUCAUCAAACUGCAUCUCCUUCUAUUUAUGGUGUGCACCUUUUAUUUUCAUUUGUUUUUAUUUUUUUAAAUAUGAGUUGCCCAUGUUGAACGAAAUUGGAUAUGACUAAUGAUAAUUUUCUUUUGGUGUUUUGAUACAAUAAUAGGCACAUGCAUGAUCAACUACAUAUUGCCAAAAAGGAAUCACAAUUUAUAUUUGUUAAUCCUUUUACAAUAUCACGAGCAAGCCUUAGUACUCAUCAAACAGAGAAAAGAGCACAAUUGUUGUCAAAACGCUUAAUGGAGUGCCAAGAUGCUAAAUAUGUUUUCAUACCUUACAACCCUGAGUAAGUGACAAAUAUUAUACUUUAAUUUGAGGUUUUAUGAUUGAUUUAUAUUUCUAAUUAGACGCUACUUUUGUUUUUAAUGUUUUAGCUUUCAUUGGGUCUUGGUGGUGAUUGAGCCAAGGAAAAUGAUAGUCCACUAUCUUGACCCUAUGCAUCACAAACUAUUUGAGGACUUAAAGAAUAUCGUAAACAUGUAAGUUCUUCCUAUUAUUUUUCAUAGUAUUAUUUUUUUUUUUUUAUAAAAAAUACAUUCAUCUCAAACACAUUGAACUUAUUUACAUAGGGCACUUCGAAUAUCUACAAAGAAAACAUCUAAAAGGGAGCCAUCUUGGCAACUAGUGCAGGUGACAUCCAAAAAAUUUUCUUUACACAUUAGCUUAUGCAUUUGCACCAUUUAUAUAUAUGAGUACUAAUGUUAUUUUAUAAUUGAUCGAUUAGUGUCCAAGACAAGAAGGAGGGUUCGAAUGUGGCUACUUUGUUAUGAGAUUCAUAAAAGAGAUAAUUUUUUAUCCUACAAUUAUUGCUUCAAAGGUAUUACAAAUUUAAUGAAUUGUACAUAGUUUUAGGCUUCCAAAUGUUAUGCAUUUUAAUGUUAUUUUCUUAUUUGAUUUCAGUUUGGUGAUAAAAAAACAUAUUCUCAAGUAGAAUUCGAUGAAAUUAGAGAAAAAUGGGCUACUUUUGUGCUACAACUAAUCAUGAAUCAUGUUGAUGCAUCAUGAUCACCAUGCAUGGUGAGUCCUUUAGCUACUACAUGAAUUUUUCCAUAGGUUCUUUGAAUAAUGUUUCUAUUUGAAAAAAAAAAAGAAAAAAAAAUAGUUCUUAGAUUUUUUUCAUUUAUGAUAACAUCGAUCCAUGUUUAUUUUCUUCAAUAAAAAUCUAUAAAACUCAUUAAACUAUGAAAUGCAAGUAUACACUUUUGGGAUGGUGGAAUGGAGAAUAAAAAGAAAGAAGAAGGCAACAAGAUUUUGGGUUUUUAAAUGCAACUCUUAUGUCAUACGUUGUAGGACAUAAAUGUUAAUUUAAUUAGUACUGAGAAAUUUAGAUUUUUAGAUGGGACUUUUAUGUCAUUUUAUAGUUAGCCGGUUUUAUGCUUAUGAAUUGGAGGUAUACAUGAAUCUUGGGAUCUUUAACAUUUCUAAAUCAUGUUUUGGUAUGUAUUCACUCUUCUUUUUUUAGUUUUGAUGGGUUUGAUAUGUUGGAUGUACUAUCUUUUUGUGAACAUUUGAUAUACAAAUAUUAUUAGAUGAUCAAUGUAUUAUGAGUUAUUCUAGAAACAUUACAGAAAAAUGAGUUAAAUAUAAUAUUAUUGUUAUAUUUAUGGACAAAAAAUAAAUAGGUUAAUCUUACUUAUUAAUUCAUAAGCAUUACAAAAAUUUAUAACUAAAAGCAAUCAUAUCUUCCACAAUAAUUUACAAUGAUGUGACACCAUUACUCAAAGGUGAUGCAUUUAAUAUGACAUUAUAAUUCAAAGAUGAUGCAUUUAAUGCGAUACCCUCUCAUCACUAGAAAUAUAUGGUGUCACUUCCGAAUGGGUCACCAUUUAUCUACUUUGGUGUCACUUCCAAAUACGUUACCAAUUGGUACCCUCUAUGGUAUCAGUGGAGAAGGUGACGCUAUGUUGUAGUGACACCCUAUGUUUAUGGUAACUCGUUAUAAAUGUCACCAUAUAUCUUUUUCCCUAUAGUGUAUAGCUCCAGUGAGGCUGUUCUCAGAGAAACAAAGGUAUGUCAAGUUUGUCAUUUGGCCUAGUACAGCAGGAAUGCUUCCAGUCAGAUUGUUAUCGUCCAAGUCUAUUGUCUCCAGGCUCCAAUAGCCUUGUAUGGAGGCUGGAAUAUUGCCUCCAAGCUUAUUACAACUCAUGUUUAUGAAUGUUAACUCAGAAAGCUCUCCAAUGGUAGCUGGGAUCCCUCCAUACAAGCUGUUGCCUUGCAAAGAGAGGGUGGUGAGAUGGGAUAGAUUGGAUAUGUAUGGUGAGAUAACUCCCUGUAAGCGCAUGUUUAUGAGCUUGAUUGACUCUAUUGAUAUUUUGUUGGUUGAGCAUGGAUUUAUGACUUAUAACGCACACGUGGAGGGUUGAAUUUCAUGAAAGAAAAUGAGGGUCAGAAAAAUAAUAAAUGGCAAGACAUUGAGCUUAUUGUGGGUAUGAUUGGGUACAAAUUCUUUUGUAUAUAUCUACUUGGGGUAUACAAUUGAAUAUUUAAUUUAGGAAGAUUCAAAAAAUUGUUUUCAAUGAAAUUCAAUAAUAAUAAUAAUAAUAAUAACAAUUGCCUGGAAAUUUAUUUAUUUAAUAAACAUUGUUUUGUCAUCAAAGUUAAUUUUUAAUAAAAUUAUCUAAAAAAAUGAAUUUUUAAAUAAAAUUCUAUUUCCUUAAUUAAAAUGGGCUAAAAAGUAAUUUUUGCAAAUUAAUGUCUUAAAUAACCUUUUCAUAAUAAUAGAAUGAGAAUCUUUUUAGCAAAUUGAACUUAUACAAAUCAUUUUCUUUUUGUAAAUAAAGUUUGUAAAAAAAUUAUUUUCUUUAUAAAUAAAAUCAAAUUGAAAUAUUUUUACAACUAAAAGAAUAUUUAGUUGAGCAAGUGAUGAACUAUUUUCUUGUUUAAGUAACCUUUUGUAAUGUUCCCCCAGCAUAAUGGUAGUACAAUAAGAGGGUUUAUUAUGUACUUCUUUCUAUAUGGACUUUGGGUAUAAUAAAAACAAUGCUUUCUCUUUCUCUCUCUCUCUCUCUCCCCCUCAGUCCACAGGUUUAGACCCUUAGCUUUACCCUGCACUAAGUCUUGAAAGCCAAAGAUUAUGCAGAAUCAAACUCUUAAAGUCUACAGCAUGAGUUGAGGAAAAAAGGAUGAGUAUUUAACGUAGUAGUUGAGGAAUGAUUCAAUGUUUGAAAUAUAAAAAAUGCAAUCCAUUGAACACUUAGCUGGCCUAUCUGCUUAUUAUUGUAUACAUAAAACAUAGACUAAUCCGAAGACUUCUAUGUGAUAACUUUAGAAUUUUCAUAUCCAAGGUUUUCACUUCUUUCUCAUCAGAAGACAAAGAUUGUAACUGUUGCAGAAAACCUAACAACCUAGUUUAUUUGUUAAGGUCCCUUUCUCUCAUAAAACAUAAAUAUAUUCACUAUCAAACACCAUAAUGAUAAUAAUAAUUAAUGAUCUUCUUUUUGCUGUAUAUACACUACUUUAGAGUUUGUUCAAUGUUUGGUUACCAAGAAAACACAAGGACUGAUCUGCUGCAUUAAAAGGUUAAUAUGUAGUUCUUCCAUUAGCUAGCCAUUUGGAACUAAGUCUUGUGGAGAACUUUUCAUAUUGGAGAUGGAUAUGAAAUUGGACCUGCCUCCACCUCAUUGAACUUCACUUUCAACAUAUGCAUUGAGAAUAUUUAAGUUAAGAUCAGUAUACUAACUAACCCUACAUAAAUUAACAUGUAUUGGUGAAAACACUUAUCCUUGUAAGUGAGAAAGCAAAAAAAGAAAAAAAAAAAAAGAAAAAAGAGAGAGACCUACCCAUUGAAGACUGUCUAUAAAUUGACAUGUUUCUCAUGCAAAAAUUUUCACCCCUCGCCUAAACGCAAAGAUUUGUAAUUGUUUGGAGACAGUACUCUAACAAUGGAGAAAGGUGUUAGUUUCCUAGUAACUGUGGCCCUCAUGGCAUUGGCUUCAUCUUUUGCCUCUGCCUCUGAUCCAAGCCCACUGCAGGACACUUGCGUUGCCAGACCCAAGAAUGCUGGUAUUUCUUUAGUAACCAACGAACUUGUCUCUAUUUUCACUAAUCUUUCCAAUUCAAUAUUGGGCACAUUAAUGCAGUAGCCAUUGCUGGUCUGAGCAGCCAAAAUCCAGGUGUAAUCACCAUAGCCAAUGCAGUGUUUGGAUCAAAUCCACCCAUCAAUCCCGAUUUCCUGGCAACGGCCUUCCAGUUGGACAAGAAGGUGGUUGAAUUCCUUCAAGCACGAUUCUAGUGGGGAAAUAGAGAAAAUGAAGAAGCUAUGAACCUUUGGUUUUCUUGCUUGAAUGACUAUUUGUGAUGUUCAAUUACCUCAUUACAAUAAGAGGGGUUUAUUACUUUAUUUUGUAGCUCUUUUGGUGUGGAUUUUGAUCCUGAUAUUAAAAUAAAGCAGUUUGUCUGUUAGGCAUCUUCUUCUGUCUCCAUCUCAAUAUUUGUCUUAAAAAAUCUCAUCUUGUGAAAAAACAACUGGAUAACAACUCUCAGUUGAUUGAUUAACCUGCAUGUGCAGAAUGUUUAUUAAGAAGGAAUACUUAGCUAGUUGUAAAACAGUACUACUGUUACUUCCAGCAUAAGUGUCAUGAAAAUUGUGAAGAAAGAAUGGAAAUGAAAACCCAGAAAUCUUAUGACAUCUACUGUAGACAAAUUAAUGUCUUAAAUAAUCUUUUCAUAAUAAUAGAAUGAGAAUCUUUUUAGCAAAUUGAACUUAUACAAAUCAUUUUCUUUUCGUAAAUAAAGUUUGUAAAGAAAUUAUUUUCUUUAUAAAUAAAAUCAAAUUAAAAUAUUUUUGUAAAUAAACUAAAAAUUAAUGUCCUAAGUAAAAAUCAUUUUUAUUGUCAAAUUGGAAUUUUUUGAAUAAAUUCUAUCCAAAUAGAAUUGAAUCAAAUCAUUUAUUGGAAAUAAAUAAAUAAAUUAAAAUCUUGAAAAAGUAAUAUUUAAAAUAUCUUUUUGUAAUCAAUUUAAUAAAUCGGUUUGUAUAAUUCUAAUGUCAUUUAUUUUGUACAUUUUUGUAAUUUAAUUUUAUCAUUAUUUUCUUGUAUAUUAAUUUGUCUCUUUAAUCUUGAUAUUCAUGAUUGAUCAAUUAACUGUCAUAAUUCAUUUCGUUUGUUUAGUAAAUAUUGUUAGUAUACAUGCUUAGAGGAGUAUUACGACUUAUUACUGUACCUUCCUGAUAGGCAACCUGACCCUUGAAUAUAGACUUGAUUUUACAAACAUGUCUUUUCUAAAUGAGGAGUUACACAAAAUUUUCUUUCUUAUUUUGUUCUCUUUUAAAAAAUAAAUUAAAAUAAGUGGCAACCCUAAUUUUUUUAUAAAAAAAAAAAAAAAAUCAAAUUUUCACAAUAAAAAUGAGUCUCACUGUCGAGUGGGAACACACGCAAAAAAUACGGGUCAACAUGUAUCCAAUUGAUUGGGGUCAAUGUCAAGAUGUGUGAUAAAGAUGCAAAUUUGAAUAUGAAUCCUGCCAUUGAUUGAAUCUUGAACUACCCGAUAGUGGUUGUAACAAGUGAGAUAAGUUGCUAAGGUUUGCGUUGAAAAGUUCAGCCAUGGAAAGUUACUAGUCAUCCAAAUAUGUAUAUAAAUCAAAGUGCACAUUCUAAAUCAAAGAAAUCAGCCUCCUUAAGCAAAAGACCUUACAAUUCUUAGAGUAUGUUUGGUAGUAAUUUUAGGAAGUGUUUUUAACUUUUUUAAUAAUUGAAAAAUAAGAAUUUUGAAGUAUUAAAAAAUGUUAGAAACACUUCCUAAAAUCACUAUCAAACGCACUUUUAAUGUAAUUUGCUCUAUCUACCACUUGAUGUGGAUGUUAAGAUUGAUAUCCUUGGUCAUUGCCUAUAAUCCUAUAUCUAUAAUUGCAAGAAGACAUACAUUGAAACAUGAAUACCCUUUCACUAUGUUUGGUUUAUGGAAAAUACUAAGAAAAGAAAAUGUUUUUCUUAUAUUUAGUUUUAUUAUGAAAAAUAAGAAAAAAUAAAAUAUAAUUAUAAUUAAUUAAAAUUUUAUGUAUUUUAAAAUUAUUUAAUAUUUAUAUAAUGAAGGAAAAUAAAUGAAACGAGCUUGAAAAAGUAUAUAAAAAUAAUUUAUUAAUUAUAACUUGUAUGCGACUAUUUUGUACUUUAAUCCCGUUUUUCUUUUAUCCUCUUGUAGGUACCUUGAUUUUAUAUAUUUGUAUCUUUAUUCAAUGAUUUAGAUUUCAUAUAUUUGUAUCUUUAAUUGAGAUUGCAAGAUCUGUACGGAUUCAGAUUAGGGAUGGCAACGCUAUAAGCUUAAGAUAAGUUACUCAUAUCCCAAUCCAUUAUAUUUAUUCGUAUAUGUUAUCAUCCCCACCAAAAAAAGAAAUUAAAUGGGAUGGGACGGGUAUAGGAAAUUCUCAUGCCUACCCCAUGCUAUCCCGUUUUUUAUUUAUUUAUUUUUCAAUUUUUAUUUCUAAAAUUUUAAGAAAAUUAAUAUUUUAAAUAUGUUAAAAAAAUUGAAAACUGAAAAAAGAAAUCAAUUAAAAGAACUUUUUAUUUAACAUUAUACAUAAUUAGGCUGAGGUAGGAUGAAACAAACUCAUACCCAAAAUCACCCCGAAUCAAUCUCGGGUUUUAAAAAAUUUCUCAAAUUCAAGAUGAGACAAAAUCAUAUCCAAAACUAUCUCGAAUCCAUCCUAGAUUUUAAAAAUUUUCUCAAAUUUAUCUAAACUCGUUUAUCAUUAUCUCAAAACGAGCCCAUUAAGGGUAGGACGAGUACUAAAUAAAAUUGGUAUAUUAUCAUCCCUAAUCAAGAUCCUAAAAUUUUUCUUUAUGAUAAUGAAAACAACAAUCAUAGUCGUCAUCUCUCUAUCAGUUUACUUGUUAGGUUUGAUCAAAUACACCUUAUGUGUUGCCUUUGGGCAACCUAGCUCUCUCAAUCAUUGUCUAAAGUUCGGGUGUUUGUUUAUUUUUUUAAUUCAUUUUGUCUUAAGUUUUUUAUUAUUAAAUAAAAUUUCUUUUUGUUACUUUAAACACCUCUAAUAAUUAUACUUUUUAUUUUUUAUAUUUAUAUUUAUCAAGUUUAUAACUGUAAAAUUUAUAAAAAUGUUAGUUUUUUGUUUUUAAAAAUAAUAAAAAGUGAUAUUUAAAGGGUCAAGUGGGCCAGCAUGAUGGCACGAUGGGUUGUUUCCUUAGGCCCACCACGACCCGCUCCUUUGGGCCAUGCCGGCCUGACUCGGUCUUUUGGCGCACUUGGCCACAGGCCAAAAUGGGUGGCUCGACCCAUUGGACACCUCUAGUAGUUACAUGUCUAGCAUCCAAACGUUAGACCAGAUGAGUUUUGUCAAACCCAACCCAUUCAUCCCCUUUGCCUCAUGUUGGCCACCCGGUUCGGACCAGCCUUGACAUGAACGGCAAGGUCCAAUGGAUUAGGUUGAUUUAGGGUCUCGAUUAUUUUUGUUUAAAUAAAUUGCAAAGAAAAAAAAAACUUGGUUUGGAUAAAUAAAUUUCAAUUGUUUUUAAAAUAGGUUUUUAUUUUAUUUUUUGUAAAAUUUUUUAUAAAUUCAAUUUAUACAAUAUUAAUUAUAUGUAAUUGAAGUCUUAUUAAAGAUUUUUUAAAAAAUAGUUUUUAAAUUAAAGAUAAAUUAAAAAAAAUCAUAAAAUAUGAAAUUAAUAUUAUAAUAAAAUCAUAAAUUAUGGUUUUUAUUUAAAAUGAUACUAUUUUAAGAUAUGAUUUAUUUAUUUUUAUAAGAAUGAAUAAUACUAAUUUUAAAAUAAUAAAAGGGUGAUAUAUUUUAUUUGAAAUAAAUUUAAAAAUAAAUAAAUUUUAUUUUUUUAAUACGUAAAUAAGUCAUGUUUUUCAUUAUAUCUACACCCGAGAAUUUAAACUUGACCCAAACUUCAACUAAAAAGACCUAUAUCCAACACAGUUAUUAGAGGUGUCCAAUGGGUCGUGUCGGGCCAACACAAUCCGAUGUUUAUCAGGCCAAUGCGUUGGCUCGACCCAUGCAAGCCAAAUAGGUGGCUUGACAUGGCCCAUAAGCCCAUGUGCUAAUCAUGUCGUGUUGUGCCAUGCCGGUGAGUCGUGCCCCAUGGGCACACACUUUAUUAAAAAUUUUAAUUAAUUUUUUUUAAUUCAUUUUGACUUAAGUUUUUUUAUUAUUAAAUAAAAUUUCUUUUUGUUACUUUAAACACCUCUAAUAAUUAUACUUUUUUAUUUUUUAUACACUUCUAAUAAUUAUACUUUUUUUUUAUAUUUAUAUUUAUCAAGUUUAUAACUGUAAAAUUUAUAAAAAUGUUAGUUUUUUGUUUUUAAAAAUAAUAAAAAGUGAUAUUUAAAGGGUUAAGUGGGCCAGCAUGAUGGCACGAUGGGUUGUUUCCUUAGGCCCACCACGACCCGCUCCUUUGGGCCAUGCCAGCUUGACUCGGUCUUUUGGCGCACUAGGCCACAGGCUAAAAUGGGUGGCUCGACCCAUUGGACACCUCUAGUAGUUACAUGUCUAGCAUCCAAACGUUAGACCGGGUGAGUUUUGUCAAACCCAACCCAUUCAUCCCCUUUGCUUCAUGUUGGCCACUCGGUUCAGACAUUGGGUUGAUUUGGGGUCUCGGUUCUUUUUGUUUAAAUAAAUUGCAAAGAAAAAAAAAACUUGGUUUGGAUAAAUAAACUUCAGUUGUGUUUAAAAUAAGUUUUUAUUUGAUUUUUUGUAAAAAAAAUUAUAAAUUCAAUUUAUACAAUAUUAAUUAUAUUUAAUUGAAGUCUUAUUAAAGAUUUUUUUAAAAAUAGUUUUUAAAUUAAAGAUAAAUUAAAAAAAUUCGUAAAAUAUGAAAUUAAUAUUAUAAUAAAAUCAUAAAUUAUGAUUUUUAUUUAAAAUGAUACUAUUUUAAGAUAUGAUUGAUUUAUUUAUUUAUUUAUUUUGAUAAGAAUGAAUAAUACUAAUUUUAAAAUAAUAACAGGGUGAUAUUUUAUUUGAAAUAAAUUUAAAAAUAAAUAAAAUUUAUUUUUUUUAAUACGUAAAUAAGUGAAGUUUUUCAUUAUAUCUACACCUGAGAAUUUAAUCAAGGAUAUAGUAUUUUGAACUAGUUUUGAGUCAUUCCUAUAAGCUUCAUUCAGUCAUUAUGGUUUAGACAAUUGAUAAUUAAUCUGUUGGCAUAAUUGAUUCUGCAAAACAGUAUCCUGAAUUUAGUAUCGAGGGAGGCAGAAACACAGCGAGAGAGAGAGAGAGAGAGAGAUGAUGCUUAACAAACAGACUGCAGACUGCUUUAUUGUAGUAAUAUGCCCAAAGUCCACACUAGAAGAGUUACAACCAGACCCUCUUAUUAUACCAUGUUUGUUACAAUGAGGGAAUUGAACAUCAUGAAUCGUCAUUCAAGCAAGGAAAUCAAAGGUUGACAGCUUAUUCUUUUUCUAUAUUUCCCCACUAGAAUCGUGCUUGAAGGUAUUCAACCACCCUCUUGUCCAACUGGAAGGCCCUUGCCAGGAAAUCAGGAUUGAUGGGUGGAUUUGAUCCAAACAUUGAACUGGCUAUGGUGAUUACACCUGGAUUUUGGCUGUUAAAAACGGCAAUGGCUACUGCAUUAGUGUGCCCAAUGUUGACUUGGAAGUGAAUGAGACUGAAAGGGAACACAAAAACAUCCCCCUUGUUCAGGACUUUGCUAAUGAAGCGGUGUUCAGGGUUGGAUGUGAUAAAGCCAACAAAGAGUUUUCCCUCCAAGACAAUGAAGAUCUCACUGGCACGAGGGUGAAAGUGAGGAGGGUUUUGACCAUUAGGUUCAUAAUCGAUACGAGACAGUGACACCCCAAGAGUGUUUUCUCCUGGUAAUUGAUCAACAUUUAUAAGAUUGACAAUUGAGCCCACAUAAUUUGAUGUGUUUCCUGGAAUAUUCAGCCCUUGAUACAAGAAAUCCUCGGCCACGGUCAGGUUUGGGUUCUUGCAGAACUUCCCAUUUACAAAUACUGCAUGAAGAAGGAAAAAAGAAAAGAUGUAUCCUUAGUAUCAAACCAUACUCACCAUAUCAAUAAAAAGAGUAGUACUGAAAAUAGCUAUAACAUCAUUGGUUACAAUAGAAAUACCAGCAUUCUUGGGCUCAUCAACUGCAACACAGGUGUCUUCCAGUGGGCUUGGAUCAUAGGCAGAGGCAAGAAACGAAGCCAAUGCCAUGAGGGCCACAGUUACCAUGAAACUAACGCCUUUCUUUAUUGUUAGAGUACUGUCUCCAACAAUCCCAAUCUUUAUCUUUCGGCGGGGAUAAUAAAUUUAGCCUGGAAAAGAUGUUAAUUUAUAGACCAGAGUCGGUGAGUUAGUCUUUGCAUAAACUCACCAAGUCUUCAAUGGGAAGUUUUUUCUUCUUUCUUUUUUCACUUUCGAGGACAAGCGGUUGCACCAAUACGUGUUGAUUUACGUAGGAUUAGUCAGUGUAUAGAUCUUAACCAGAAUAUAAAGCAAUGUACAAUCAGGUGGAGGCAGGUCCAAUUUAAUAUCAAUCUGCAUGAUCCAUACGUUUACAUUUAUAGUAGAGCUUUCUGCUCUUUUAGUAGUGUAUAGACAAGCAAAUAGAAGAUUACAGAGUAGGUGCCAGCUUGGAGUAUACAAUGACCCGCCCAUAUCAAACAUGGUUACUCCAUGAGGCUUGUGUAGGUUCAGUUUAAUGAGUAUCUAUAUAGCUUAAUUCACCAUUCAAAGUGUUGAGAGAUUGGCUGAUGAGAUUAAAUAUGUAGCCAAGUUCUGAGUUUCUAGCUCAUGUGCCUUCCACUGAGUGAAAAGUCCUUGGAUAAGCUCUGGCUUUCUGCUAUACGCUCAUUAGGCUUUCCUCAGUUACAAAAGCUUUGACUAUGAUUUUUACGCUUGUAGCCUUCGCUGUCUGAGCGGUUUCUAAGACUUUUUAAUUAGUUGCUUCUAAGUUGUCUUUAACAAGCAAGUCCGUAUUUUCUGGCGAGAAGCAAGAAAAUACCAAUUGAUUAGAUGAAGUCCUUCGACUAAUCUAUGCCCUAUACGUAAGGUAAUUAAGCAGUUACACUUUCCAAAUCUUCAAUGGAUGUCAUUUUUCGAAUUGAAAGGUUGAACUUCCUCAAGUUAUGCUCUAGACUCUAGAAUGAAUUCUACAUAAUCUUCGGUUUUAGGCCUUAUUCCUAGUUUAAAGCUAAGAAGUAAACCAGUGGACAGACCAUCUGUAAUCAGAUUGUGAUUAGUGUCAUGACCCAUUAGAUCUUUAUAAGAAGUUGGCCAUGGUUCAAAGUCACGGUAUCCGUCACCAAAUCGGUAAGUCCCGAGGUACAUCAGUUUCAACGUCACGGAUCGAUAUCGGAUGAUACGCAAAAAUUUAUAGUUUAAAAGCUCAAAACAAUUUAAAAAGAUUACAAAAAUAAAUACAAAUAAAUAAAGUUAAAAAUUAAGAAAUAAAAUUUUAUUAUGUAUAAAAUUAUUCAAAUUAUGAUAAAACAUACCUUUGUAAUGAUUUAUAAAAAUAUUAAAACUAUAAAAAAAAUAAUUUAAUCACUUAAUAUUAAAUAUGCAUCAUUAAAGAUGAAAAUAAUAAAAAGUGAAUUUAUAGUUUAUAAUUUUUUUAAAAUUAAAUAUUUUGAAUUUUUUAAAAAUAUUUUCAAUAUUUAAAAAAAUACAUCUAGGAAUCAUCUUUGAAAAAAAUAAACAUCAUUUUUCUUAUCAAAUGUAUUCUAAAUAAAACAAUUAUAAAAAUAAAGAAUUUUUAUUUGAAUGAGCAUAUUUGAAUAUAAUAUAUUUUUUCUAUACAUCUAUUCAUUUGAAUUGAAUUUUUAUAUUAAUAUUCAUUUCCUUUUUUAUUCAUGUAAACCUAAAUAUUCAUUAUUAAUGUACCAUAAUCCUAAUUCCCAUCAAAUUUGCAUUAUCCAUUUAAAUACAAUUAUUCACAACAUAUUCAUUAACUACUUAAAAAACAAAUACCCACCCAAAUUUGUAAUCCUAUCAAAUACCCAUAACCCAUUGGCAAACACGUAUUUCCUUUUUUUGGCACAAUACCCAUUUUCUCUCUAAAACAACACUUUGAGCUCUCUAUUUCUUUGCACAAUACCUAUAUUUGAAGGCUAAAAAAAUAGGCCUACAAAGAUACAAAAGGAUGGAGCUAGAAAUACAAGGAUGAAGAUGCACAAGGUUUGAAGACUCUAUACUCUCCACACUUCUUCACUUUCAUAUGUUUCCAUCAUCUUCUUUCAUCCACUAUUUUCGCUCCUAUAUUACCAUUUUUUCCCAUCACCCAUCACCCGAAGAGCUUAGUUUGAAUAUAAUCUUGGGGUUAUCUCAAAGUUUCUUUGUGAUUCAACAAGUUUUUUCAUGAGUCAACCAAAUAUUAGACUCAGGUAUCGGUUCAGUACUAGUCAUGGACAAGAUUUUAACCCUGUUUGAGCUCUCUAUUUCUUUGUACAAUACCAAUUUUUAAAGGCUCACAAAAUAACCCUAUGAAAAUACAAGAGGAUAGAGAUGCAAAUACAGGGAUGAAGAUGCAAAAGGUUUGAAGACUUUGAACUCUCCAUAUUCUUCGGUUUCAUGGGUUUCAAUCUUCUUCUCUCAUCAACUAUUUCUGCUCCAAUAUUACCAUUUUUUUCCAUCACCCAUGACCUGAAGAGCUUAGCUUGGACAUAAUCUUAGGGAUAUCUCAAAGUUUCUUUGUGAUUUAACAAGUUUAUUCAUGAUUCAACCAAAUAUUGGACUCGGAUAUCGGUCCGAUACCGAUCAUGGCUGAGGCAUAUAUGAAUCGGUUGAGUCGUACCGGUCUCGACCGAGAUUUUGAACCUUGUUUGAGCUUUCUAUUUCUUUGCACAAUACUAAUUUUUGAAGCCUUAUAAAAUAGCCCUACGAAGAUAUAAGAGGAUGAAGAUGCAAAUACAAGGAUGAAUAUGCAAAGGGUUUGAAGACUUUGAACUCUCCAUACUUCUUCACUACCAUAGGUUUCAAUCUUCUUCUCUCAUCCACCAUUUCCAUUCCAAUAUUACCAUUUUUUUUUCCAUCACCCAUCACUCAAAGAGCUUAGUUUGGACAUAAUCUUGGGGUUAUCUCAAAGUUUCUUUAUGAUUCAACAAGUUUAGUCAUGAGUCAACUAAAUAUUGGACUUGGGUAUCAGUCUGAUACUAGUCAUGACCAAGAUUUUGAACCCUUUUUGAGCUCUCUAUUUCUCUACAUAAUACCCAUUUUUGAAUGCUCACAAAAUAACCCUACAAAGAUACAAGAUGAUAGAGAUGCAAAUACAAGGAUGAAGAUGCAAAGGGUUUGAAGACUCUAAACUCUCCAUACUUCUUCACUUUCAUAGGUUUCGAUCUUCUUCUCUCAUCCGCCAUUUCAACUCCAAUAUUACCAUUUUUUUCCAUGACCUAUCACUCGAAGAGCUUAUUUUGGACAUAAUCUUGGGGUUAUCUCAAAGUUUCUUUUUUAUUCAACAAGUUUAUUCAUGAGUCAACCAAAUAUUGGACUUGAGUAUUAGUUCGGUACUGGUCAUGGCCGAGGUGGAUAUGACUUGGCCAAGUCAUACUGGUCUCAAUCGAGAUUUUGAACCCUAUUUGAACUCUCUAUUUCUUUGCACAGUACCCAUUUUUUAAGGCUAACAAAUUAGCCCUACGAAGAUAUAAGAGGAUUGAGAUGCAAAUAAAGAAAUGAAGAUGCAAAGGGUUUGAAGACUCUAAACUCUUCAUACUUUUUCACUUUCAUGGGUUUCAAUCGUCUUAUCUCAUCCACCAUUUUCGCUCCAAUAUUACAAUUUUUUUCCAUCACCCAUCACCCAAAAAGCUUAGUUUGAACAUAAUCUUGGAGUUAUCUCAAAGUUUAUUUUUUAUUCAACAAGUUUAUUCAUGAGUAAACCAAAUAUUGGACUCAAGUAUCAAUUCAAUAUCAAUCAUGGUUGAGGCGGAUAUGACUCGAACAAGUUGUACUUGUCUCAACCGAGAUUAUGAACCCUAUUUGAGCUCUCUAUUUAUCUCUACAAUACCCAUUUUUGAAGGCUUACAAAAUAGUCCUACGAAGAUACAAGAUGAUGGAGAUGCAAAUACAAGGAUGAAAAUCCAAAGAGUUUGAAGACUCUGAACUCUCCAUAUUUUUUCACUUUCAUGAGUUUUGAUUUUCUUCUCUUAUCUGCCAUUUCCGCUCCAAUAUUACCAUUUUUUCCAUUACCCAUCACUUGAAGAGCUUAGUUUGGACAUAAUAUUAAGGUUAUCUCAAAUUUUCUUUGUGAUUCAACAAGUUUAUUCAUAAGUCAGCCAAAUAUUGGACUUGGGUAUCUGUUCGAUACUAGUCAUAUAUGGUAGAGGCGGAUAUGACUCAACCAAGUUGUACUAGUCUCAACUAAGAUUUUGAACCCUAUUUGAGCUCUCUAUUUCUCUGUACAAUACCCAUUUUAAAGGCUCACAAAAUAGCCCUACCAAGAUACAAGAUAAUGAAGAUGCAAAUAUUACUCAUUGAAUAUCUAGCAAUAAUUGGUUUAUUUUUUAUUUUUGAAUUAUUUUUUAAAAUUAAAUAUCUAUUAAUGAAACAAAAAUACUAAUGAUUAAUACCAAAAAGUGCUAUUUUGUAGAUCUAAUUAUAAUGGUUUUAAGCACCUUUGAGUAGUAAUCAUAUUCAUUUAACCCAAUUAAUUCAUUAAGGUCCUUAGUAAUUGGUUUUAACCAUUUUGUGGCAAGUUUACAUGUUUUUAUCAGCUUAUGAAUCAAUUCAAGCAUGCCAAAUGAUGGAGGAGCUACUUAGACAAGUUAAAGCAAGGAUUUUGGAAGUUUACAGGCUUGAAUUUCAAGUGGAAACACGAGCACAAGCAAUGGAGAAGAGGAAAACAGAGUGAAGAAAACAGAGGACAGCAGCUGCAGUCUUCUUUUGCACUUUUGGAGCACUUCCCGAAGUCCAUUUUCUACAUUCUAUAUACCAUUUCAAAGCUCAGGAAGUCAAUAAUCCAAUGCUUCAAACGGUGCGUGAUUCGGAGUUGAAACGAAGGAGUUACAGCCAUUGCAAUCAGAUCACUCCAAGCUGCUGCGAAAUCAGCCUUUUGUUGCGAGAAUUUCGCAGCCUUUUUGUACAGUGCAAUGGAAUUCCUCCUGAAGCUACCCGAUAUAUGCUGCAAGCUGGAAUGCUGAGAACCUCAAGGUGGAAGCCAACUUCGCAGCCCUGCGAAGAUAGCUUGGUGUUGCGAAAUUAUUUCGCAACCCUCUUGAGUGUCUGCGAAAUCUCGCAGACCUCGUUUUCACCUGCGAAAUGUCCUUAGUGCUUCCUGAUAUUUGUGCACCGACUCUUUUGGAUAUUUUUCUUCAGAUAUUUUUGUAUAAAUUUCCAUUUUCUCCUUGUUUUCAGCCACUCAUGUAAUUCCUUAGCUAGGAAGUNNNNNNNNNNNNNNNNNNNNNNNNNNNNNNNNNNNNNNNNNNNNNNNNNNNNNNNNNNNNNNNNNNNNNNNNNNNNNNNNNNNNNNNNNNNNNNNNNNNNGAGAGAGAUUUAGUGUUUGAACCCAUUAAUGGGAAGCAUCUGUACAACACCGGUUGGAGAAGGAACUAUAGGUUAAUUCUCUAAGGCGAGGAAAAAAAACAAGUGACCGGAACUCCCUUUUUGUAUGAGGAACCUGAGCCUAGUGAUCUGAACUCCAAGAAACACUUUUCUUUGUAAGUAAAAUCAGUUACUAUUUUUGGUUAGCUUAAAACCAAACCUUUUUCAUUCAAACAUCUUUAUGUUUUCUUAAGCUAACCUUGAAAUGAAAAGGCACCAAUUCAGCUUUGAAUUAAUAUCAUUUGUGAAGUGAAAACCCAUCCCAGUGGACGAUCCUAGAGCCACUAUGCUAUAGUAGCUUUGUCUUUGCUACCCUAGUAUAUGGUGUAAUAGGUUAUAAAUUUUGUUGAUUACUCCCUCAAUCAAGGAGCACCAGCUGGACACGAAUCAGCUGAGACACCAAUUGGGCACGAAUCAACUAACUCUUUCUUGAUUUUCUUCUCUCAUCCACCAUAUCCGCUCCAAUAUUGCCAUUUUUUCCAUCACCCAUCACCCUAAGAGCUUAGUUUGGAUAUAAUCUUAGGGUUAUCUCAAAGUUUCUUUUUUAUUCAACAAGUUUAUUCAUGAGUUAACCAAAUAUUGGACUCGGGUAUUAGUUCGGUACCGGUCAUGGCCAAGGUGAAUAUGACUUGGCCGAGUCAUACCAGUCUCAAUUGAGAUUUUGAACCUUGUUUGAACUCUCUAUUUCUUUGCACAAUACCCAUUUUUUAAGGCUAACAAAAUACCCUAACAAAGAUACAAGAGGAUUGAGAUGCAAAUAUAGGAAUGAAGAUGAAAAGGGUUUGAAGAGUCUAAACUCUUCAUACUUUUCCACUUUCAUGGGUUUCAAUCUUCUUCUCUCAUCCACCAUUUUUGCUCUGGUAUUACUAUUUUUUUUCCAUCACCCAUCAUCCAAAAAGCUUAGUUUGGACAUAAUCUUGGAGUUAUCUCAAAGUUUCUUUUUUUAUUCAACAAAUUUAUUCAUGAGUCAACCAAAUAUUGGACUAGAGUAUCGAUCCGAUACUGAUAAUGGCUGAGGCGGAUAUGACACGAUCAAGUCGUACGAGUCUUAACCGAGAUUAUGAACCCUGUUUGAGUUCUCUAUUUCUAUACACAAUACCCAUAUUUGAAGGCUCACAAAAUAGUCCUACGAAGAUACAAGAUGAUGGAGAUGCAAACACAUGGAUGAAAAUCCAAAGCGUUUGAAGGCUCUGAACUCUCCAUAUUUCUUCGCUUUCAUGGGUUUCGAUCUUUUUCUCUCAUCCACCAUUUUCGCUCCAAUAUUACCAUUUUUUCCAUUACCCAUCACGCAAAGAGCUUAGUUUGGACAUAAUAUUAUGGUUAUCUCAAAUUUUCUUCAUGAUNNNNNNNNNNNNNNNNNNNNNNNNNNNNNNNNNNNNNNNNNNNNNNNNNNNNNNNNNNNNNNNNNNNNNNNNNNNNNNNNNNNNNNNNNNNNNNNNNNNNAAGAGCUUAGUUUGGACAUAAUAUUAUGGUUAUCUCAAAUUUUCUUCAUGAUUCAACAAAUUUAUUCACAAGUCAACCAAAUAUUGGACUUGGGUAUCAGUCCGAUACUAGUCAUGGUGGAGGCAGAUAUGACUCGGUUGAGUCGUACCAAUCUCGACUAAGAUUGUGAACCCUGUUUGAACUCUCUAUUUCUUUGUACAAUAUCCAUUUUGAAGGCUCACAAAAUAGCCCUACCAAGAUACAAGACGAUGGGGAUGCAAAUAUUACUCCUUGAAUUACUGGCAAUAAUUAGUUUAUUUUUUUAAUUUUGAACUAUUUUUUAAAAUUAAAUAUUUGUUAAUGAAACAAAAGCACUAACUCUUUCUUGAUUUGGAGUUUAUUUGUUGAAUGAAAAUUUUUGGAUAAUUAUGGUUUUGCGCAUAAGAGAAAUAAUGAACCAAUUGUUGUUCAUAAAUUCAUAAAAUUGGAUUAGCAUUUGAGUUUCAAAUUAUUUUUAAAAGUGCUUACAUUCAUUAAUGAAUCUAAUACACUAAGUUCCUCUUUGGGAUGAAUUUUGAAUGAGGCUAAAAGCUUUUCCUAACACUAGAAAGCAAUCUUAAAAAAAUGGUUGAAAAUCACUUUUAAAAAUCUAAAUAAUGACAUGAUUCUUCGAACUAUCACAUUUUUGUUAUAUUAUACAUUGCCAAAACAUUCUCUGAACAUAUUUUAAAAAAAAUUUAUAAUAUGCAUUUCCUACAAAGCAAUCUUAAAAAUAUAUAUAUAUAUAUAUCAUCAAUAAUUAGAUUAUGGUGUGAUAGUGAUUUUAGCAAUUGUUUUUAGCCUUUUUAAUACUUUAAAAAUAACAGCAGUGAAUUUAGGAAACGUUUCUAGCUUUUUUAACGCUUGAAUGAUAUAAAUUUUCAAGUAUUAGAAAAGUUAAAAAUGUUUCCUAAAAUCACUACUAAACAGGCUUUAAUCAGUAGUAGUAAUUAAUUGGUAUUGAAUAACUGUAAUGCAGUUUCCUGAAUGUAGUAUUGAGGGAGAGAGAAACAGAGAGGAAGAGAGAGAUGCUUAACAAACAAAUUGCUUUAUUGUAGUAAUAUGCCCAAAGUUCACACCAGAAGAGUUACAACUAGACCCUCUUAUCAUACUAGGAUUGUUAUAACGAGGGAAUUGAACAUCAUAAAUAGUCAUUCAAGCAAGGAAAUGAAAGGUUGAUAGCUUCUUCUUUUUCUAUAUUCCCCCACUAGAAUCGUGCUUGAAGGUAUUCAACCACCUUCUUGUCCAACUGGAAGGCCCUUGCAAGGAAAUCAGGAUUGAUGGGUGGAUUUGAUCCAAACACUGCAUUGGCUAUGGUGAUUACACCUGGAUUUUGGCUGUUCAGACCAGCAAUGGCUACUGCAUUAGUGUGCCCAAUGUUGAAUUGGAAGUGAAUGAGACCGAUAGGGAACACAAAAACAUCCCCUUUGUUGAGGACUUUGCUAAUGAAUCGGUUUUGAGGGUUGGAUGUGACAAAGCCAACUAAGAGUGUUCCCUCCAAAACAGUGAGGAUCUCACUGGCACGGGGGUGAAUGUGAGGAGGGUUUUGACCAUAGGGUGCAUAAUUGAUACGAACCAGUGAUAUCCCAAGAGUGUUUUGUCCCGGUAGUACAUCAACAUUUAUAAUAGUGACAUUUGAGCCCACUAGAUUUGCUGUGUUUCCUGGAAUAUUCAGCCCUUGAUACAAGAAAUCGUCAGCCACGGUCAGGUUUGGGUUCUUGCAGAACUUUCCAUUUACAAAUACUGCAUUUAAAAAAACAAAAGGAAAAUAAAAGAUAGGUCAUUAGUAUCAAACCACCAUCAAUGGAAAGAUUAGUGAAAAUAGUGACAAGAUCAUUGGUUACUAAAGAAAUACCAGCAUUCUCGGGUUCAUCAAUGGCAACACAAGUGUCCUGCAGUGGCCUUGGAUCAAAGGCAGAGGCAAGAGAGGAAGCCAAUGCCAUGAGGGCAACAGUUACCAGGAAACUAACACCUUUCUUCAUUGUUAGAGAACUGUCUCCAACAAUCACAAUCUUUAUCUUUAGGUGGGGGUGAGAAAUUUUGCAUGGGAAAGAUGUUAAUUUAUAGACCAGUCAAUGAGUAAAGUCUUUGCAUAAACUCACAAAGUCUUCAAUGGGUAGUUUUUUCUUUUCUUUUUUUUCUUUCUUUUUUCUUUUUUUCACUUUCAACGUCAAGUGGUUACACCAAUACAUGUUGAUUUAUGUAGGAUUAGUUAGUUACUAUACUGAUCUUAACUAGAAAAUUCUCCAUGCGUGUGGAAAGUGAAGUUCAAUUAUUGAUGGAGGCAGGUCCAAUUUCAUAUCAACCUGCAUGAUCCAUACAUUUACAUAAAUAGUAGAUUGAAUAUUACUACCAUUCAAACACUGAAAAAUAUGUAUAGUGUAUUGACAAGAAAAUAGAAGAUUACAGAGUAAGUGCAGGCUUGGACUAGACAAUAACCCACCCAUUCCAAACAUGGUUACUCUAUGAGGCUUGUGUAGGUUCAGUUUAAUGAGUAUCUAUAUAGCUUAAUUAACCAGUCAAAGUUUUCAGAGAUUGGCUGAUGAGAUUGAAUAUGUAGCCAAGUUCUGAGUUUCUAGCUCAUGUGCCUUCCACUGAGUGAAAAAUCCUUGGAUAAGCUCUAGGGUUGCUUCACUUUAGUGAAAAAUAGGGAUAAAUUCAAAGAUUUUCUGCUAUGCUCAUUAGGCUUUCCUCAGUUACAAAAGCUUUGGCCAUGAUUUUUAUGCUUGCAGCCUGCCCUGUCUGAGCAGUUGGCUCAAAAGUUAUUAUUAUUAUUAUUAUUUUGGUUUGAGAGAGAAAGAGAUCUUAAUAAACACCUUUAAACUAAGACUUUUUAAUUAGUUGUUUAUAAGUUGUCUUUAACAAUCACGUCGGUGUUUCCUGGUGAGAAGCAAGAAACCUUGAUUUGAAAAAUACCAAUAAAUUAGAUGAAGUCCUCAGGUUAACCUAUGUUUUAUAGGUGAGGUAAGCAGUUACACUUUCCAAGUCUUCAAUGGAUGUCAUUUUUCAAAUUUAAAGGUUGAACCAUUCUUCGAUCACACUCCUUUCUCAUCCUUUUCUCCUCAACUUAUGCUCUAGACUCUUGAAUGGAUUCUACAUAAUCUUCGGGUUUUAGGCCUUAUUCCAGUGUAAAGCUAAGAAGUAAACCAGUGGGCAGGCCAUCUAUAAUCAGUUUGUGAUUAGUGUCAUGACCUAGAUCUUUAUAAGAAGUUGGGGUCAGAGGUUUGUUUACAGUGGAUGUCAUAAGAUUUAUGGGCUUUCAUUUCUAUUCUUUCCUCACUAUUUCAUAACACUUAUGCUUCUCCCACCAUUCAUAUGGUUUUACUUGGACAUCUUAAUGAGUUUUUUCGAUCUCAGUUGAUGGGAGUUAUAAUGGGAUAAUUUAGAGAAGCAAAUUAAUGGCAUCUUUCCAUUUCUGAAUUGUAUGGGGUUGUUGCCUCAAUGUUCAUGUCUUCAUCACCAAUUCUGUCAGCAGUAUGCUAGAAGUAACAGUAGUUCUGUUUUAUGCAUAUCCUGUAUUUAAUCAAUCAAUCAACUGAGAUUUGUUAUUCAGUUGCUUCUUUUACAAGUGAAAUCUCAAAGAUUUGUUUAAGAUUUUUUAAUGAAAACAUAGGGUAAUCCUGGAUAUGGCAUUGGAUAGUGAGAGAAGAAGAUGGCUAAUAGACAAACUGCUUUAUUUUAAUAUUAGGACCAAAGUCCACAUCAAACAACCUACAACAUAAAGAAAUAAACCCUCUUAUUCUAGGAUGACUAUAAUGAGGUAAUUGAACACCACAAAUAGUCAUUUAAGCAAGGAAAGCAAAGGCUGGUAGCUUCUUAAUUUUCUAUAUUUUCCAACUAGAAUAGUGCUUGAAGGUAUUCAACCACCUUCUUGUCCAACUGGAAGGCCCUGGCAAGGAAAUCAGGAUUGAUGGGUGGAUUUGAUCCAAACACUGCAUCGGCUAUGGUGAUUACACCUGGAUUUUGGCUGUUCAGACCAGCAAUGGCUACUGCAUUAGUGUGCCCAAUGUUGAAUUGGAAGUGAAUGAGACCUAUAGGGAACACAAAAACAUCUCCCUUGUUGAGGACUUUGCUAAAGAGGCGGUUUUGAGGGUUGGAUGUGACAAAGCCAACUAAGAGUGUUCCCUCCAAGACAGUGAGGAUCUCAGUGGCACGAGGGUGAGUGAUCAUGUGAGGAGGGUUUUGACCAUAGGGUGCAUAAUCUAUACGAACCAGUGAUAUCCCAAGAGUGUUAAGUCCUGGUAUUGCAUCAACAUUUACUGUAGUGACAUUUGAGCCCACUCGAUUUGCUGUGUUUCCUGGAAUAUUCAGCCCUUGAAAGAAGAAAUCCUCGGCCACAGUCAGGUUUGCGUUCUUGCAGAACUUUCCAUUUACAAAUACUGCAUUUAAAAAGAAGGGGAAAAGAAAAGAUAGGUCGUUAGUAUCAAACCAUUAUCAAUGGAAAGAGUAGUGAAAAUGGCAAUAAGAUCAUUGGUCACUAUACAUAUAUAGAAAUAUCAGCAUUCUUGGGUUCAGGAAUGGCAACACAAGUGUCCUGAAGUGGGCUUGGAUCAAAGGCAGCGACAAGAGAGGAAGCCAAUGCCAUGAGGGCAACAGCAACCAGGAAGCUGACACCUUUCUUCAUUGUCAGAGUACUGUCUCCAACAAUCAGAGUCUUUAUCUUUAGGUGGGGGUGAUAAAUUUUGCAUGGGAAAGAUGUUAAUUUAUAGACCAGAAUCGGUGAGUUAGUCUUUGCAUAAACUCACAAAGUCUUUAAUGGGUAGUUUUUUUUUUUCAUUUUCAAGGACAAUUAGUUACACCAAUACAUUUUAAUUUAUGUAGGAUUAGUUAGUAUACUGAUCUUAACUAGAAUAUUCUCCAUGAGUGUGUGGAUAGUGGAGUUCAAUUAUAGGUGGAGGCAGGUCAAAUUUCAUAUCAAUCUACAUGAUCCAUGCAAUAACAUAAAUAGUAGAGCUUUCUGCUCUUUUAGUUUUAGUACCCAAACACUGAAAAAUCUCUAAAGUAGUGUAUAGACAAGCAAAUAGAAGAUUACAGAGUAGGCCAUCGGACUAGACAAUAAUCCACCCAUUUCAAACAUGGUUACUCCAUGAGGCUUGUGUAGGUUCAGUUUAAUGAGUAUCUAUAUAGCUUAAUUCACCAUUGAAAGUGUCCAGAGAUUGGCUGAUGAGAUUGAAUAUGUAGCCAAGUUCUGAGUUUCUAGCUCAUGUGCCUUCCACUGAGUGAAAAAUCCUUGGAUAAGCUCUGGGGUUGCUUCAGUUUAAUGAAAUAUUGGGAUAAAUUCAAAGAUUUUCUGCUAUGCUCGUUGGGCUUUCCUCAGUUAAAAAAGCUUUGACUACUUGCAGCCUGCCCUAUCUGAGCAAUUGGCUCAAAAGUUAUUAUUAUUAUUAUCAUGUUUUUUGAUAGUGACUUUAUUUAUGUAUUAUGAGAGGGAAAGAGAUGCUUAACAAACACCUUUGAACUAAGACUUUCUAAAUUAUUUGUUUACAAGUUUUCUUUAACAAUCAAAUCUGUGUUUUUUGGUAAGAAGCAAGAAACCUUGCAUUGGAAAAAUACCAAUUAUUUAGAUAAAGUUCUCAGAUUAGUCUAUGUUUUAUACAUAAGGUAAGCAGAUACACUUUCCAAGCUUUCCAAGUCUUCAAUGGAUGGCCUUUUUUUAAUUUAAAGGUCGAACCCUUAUUCAACAACUACACCCCUUUCCCAUCCUCAACUCAAAGUGGACUCUGCAUAAUCUUUGGGUUUUAGGACUUAUUCGAGGGUAAAUCUAAAGGAGUAACCCUGUGGACAGACCAUCUAUGAUCAGUUUGUGAUUAGUGUCAGACCCAUUAGAUCUUUAUAAGUUGAGGUGAGAAGUUUGCUGCAUGAAUUCGAAUCUACUUUCUUUCCACUUCUUAUCAUCAUGGAGUACAUGACGAAAACUUCAGAUAAAAAUGAAAACUCAAAUUAAACUGUUUUCUUUUCCAUUCUUUCUUCACUAUGUUCAUGACACUUGUGCUUCUCCUACCAUUCAAAUGGUUUAUCUGGACAUCUUAAUUAGUUUCUUCGAUCUUAGUUGAUGGGUUAUAGUGGGAUAAUUUAGAGAAGCAAAAUGGCACCUUUCCAUUUCUGAAUUGUAUGCAGUUGUUGCCUCAAUGUUCAUUUAUUCAUCACCAAUUCCGCCAGCAGUAUGCUGGAAGUAACAGUAGAACUAUUUUACAAUCAGUCAAGUAUUGCUUCUUCAUCAAAAUUCUGCAUAUACUGUAUAUAAUCAAUCAAGCAACUGAGAUUUGUGAUCCAGUUGUUUUUCCACAAGUGAAAUAUCAAAGAUUUGGAUAAGAUUUUUUAAGACAAAUAUUGAGAUGGAGACAGGAGUAGAAGAUGCCUAACAGACAAACUGCUUUAUUUUAAUAUUAGGACCAGAGUCCACACCAAAAGAGCUACAAAAGAAAGUAAUAAACCCUCUUAUUCUAGGAUGAUUGUAAUGAGGUAAUUAAACAUCACAAAUAGUCAUUCAAGCUUGCAAAUCAAAGGUUCCUAGCUUCUUCAUUUUCUCUAUUUCCCCACUAGAAUCGUGCUUGAAGGUAUUUGACCACCUUCUUGUCCAACUGGAAGGCCCUUGCCAGGAAAUCAGGAUUGAUGGGUGGAUUUGAUCCAAAUACUGCAUUGGCUAUGGUGAUUACACCUGGAUUUUGGCUGUUCAGACCAGCAAUGGCUACUGCAUUAAUGUGCCCAAUGUUGAAUUAGAAGUGAAUGAGACCAAUAGGGAACACAAAAACAUCCCCCUUGUUUAGAACUUUGCUAAUGAGGCGGUUUUGAGGGUUGGAUGUGACAAAGCCGACUAAGAGUGUCCCUCCAAGACGGUGAGGAUCUCAGUGGCACGAGGGUGAGUGUGAGGAGGGUUUUGACCGUAGGGUGCAUAAUCGAUACGAACCUGUGAUAUCCCAAGAGUGUUAAGUUCUGGUAUUGCAUCAACAUUUACUGUAGUGACAUUUGAGCCCACUCGAUUUGUUGUGUUUCCUGGGAUAUUCAGCCCUUGAUAGAAGAAAUCCUCGGCCACAGUCAGGUUUGGGUUCUUGCAGAACUUUCCAUUUACAAAUACUGCAUUUAAAAAAAGGGAAAAGAAAAGAUACAUCAUUAGUAUGAAACCACCAUCAAUGGAAAGAUUAAUGAAAAUAGUGACAAGUUCAUUGGUUACUAAAGAAAUACCAGCAUUCUUGGGUUCAUCAAUGGCAACACAAGUGUCCUGCAGUGGGCUUGGAUCAGAGGCAGAGGCAAAAGAUGAAGCCAAUGCCAUGAGGGCCACAGUUACUAGGAAACUAACACCUUUCUCCAUUGUUAGAGUACUGUCUCCAACAAUCACAAAUCUUUGUGUUUAGGUGAGGGGUGAAAAUUUUUGCAUGAGAAACAUGUCAAUUUAUAGAUGGUCUUCAAUGGGUAGGUCCUUUUUUUUUUUUUUUUUUUUUUUUGCUUUCUCACUUACAAGGAUAAGUGUUUUCAUCAAUACGUGUUAAUUUAUGUUGGGUUAGUUAGUAUACUGAUCUUAACUUAAAUAUUUUCAAUGCAUAUGUUGAAAGUGAAGUUCAAUCAGGUGGAGGCAGGUCCAAUUUCAUAUCCAUCUCCAAUAUGAAAAGUUCUCCACAAGAUUUAGUUCCAAAUGGCUAGCUAAUGGAAGAACUACAUAUGGCAAAAUGAAGUGAAAGUAUUCAGGAUUACUUAACCUUUUAAUGCAGCAGAUCAGUCCUUCUGUUUUCUUGGUGACCAAACAUUGAACGAACUCUAAAGUAGUGUAUAUACAGCAAAAAGAAGACCAUUAUUAUUAUCACUAUGGUCUUUGAUAGUGAAUAUAUUUAUGUCUCAUGUACAAAUAUAUUUCCACACUUCUUCACUUUCAUAUGUUUCCAUGCAUCUUCUUUCAUCCACUAUUUUCGCUCCUAUAUUACCAUUUUUUUCCAUCACCCAUCACCCAAAGAGCUUAGUUUGAAUAUAAUCUUGGGGUUAUCUCAAAGUUUCUUUGUGAUUCAACAAGUUUUUUCAUGAGUCAACCAAAUAUUAGACUCAGAUAUCGGUUCAGUACUAGUCAUGGCCAAGAUUUUAACCCUGUUUGAGCUCUCUAUUUCUUUAUACAAUACCCAUUUUUAAAGGCUCGCAAAAUAACCCUAUGAAGAUACAAGAGGAUAGAGAUGCAAAUACAGGGAUGAAAAUGCAAAAGGUUUGAAAACUCUUAACUCUCCAUAUUUCUUCGGUUUCAUGGGUUUCAAUCUUCUUCUCUCAUCAACUAUUUCUGCUCCAAUAUUACCAUUUUUUUUCCAUCACCCAUCACCUGAAGAGCUUAGCUUGGACAUAAUGUUAGGGAUAUCUCAAAGUUUCUUUGUGAUUUAGCAAGUUUAUUCAUGAUUCAACCAAAUAUUGGACUCGGGUAUCGGUUCGAUACCGAUCAUGGCUGAGGCAUAUAUGAAUCGGUUGAGUCGUACUGGUCUCGACCAAGAUUUUGAACCCUGUUUAAGCUUUCUAUUUCUUUGCACAAUACUAAUUUUUGAAGCCUUAUAAAAUAACCCUACGAAGAUACAAGAGGAUGAAGAUGCAAAUACAAGGAUGAAUAUGCAAAGGGUUUGAAGACUUUGAACUCUCCAUACUUCUUCACUACCAUAGGUUUCAAUCUUCUUCACUCAUCCACCAUUUCCAUUCCAAUAUUACCAUUUUUUUUCCAUCACCCAUCACUCGAAGAGCUUAGUUUUGACAUAAUCUUGGGGUUAUGUCAAAGUUUCUUUAUGAUUCAACAAGUUUAUUCAUGAGUCAACUAAAUAUUGGACUUGGGUAUCAGUCUGAUACUAGUCAUGGCCAAGAUUUUGAACCCUUUUUGAGCUCUCUAUUUCUCUACAUAAUACCCAUUUUUGAAGGCUCACAAAAUAACCCUACAAAGAUACAAGAUGAUAGAGAUGCAAAUACAGGGAUGAAGAUGCAAAGGGUUUGAAGACUCUGAACUCUCCAUACUUCUUCACUUUCAUAGGUUUCGAUCUUCUUCUCUCAUUUGCCAUUUCAGCUCCAAUAUUACCAUUUUUUCCAUGACCCAUCACUCGAAGAGCUUAUUUUGGACAUAAUCUUGGGGUUAUCUCAAAGUUUCUUUUUUAUUCAACAAGUUUAUUCAUGAGUCAACCAAAUAUUGGACUCAGGUAUUAGUUCGGUACUGGUCAUGGCCGAGGCGGAUAUGACUUGGCCGAGUCAUACUGGUCUCAAUCGAGAUUUUAAACCCUAUUUGAACUCUCUAUUUCUUUUUCACAGUACCCAUUUGUUAGAAAUUUGAGGCUAAUCCAACCUAUGGUAAUCACCCUAGAGGGGGGGUGAAUGGGGUGAUGGUCUCUUUUCUAACAAUUUAAACAAGUGAAUGCAAGAGACAAUUAUAUGCAAGUAUAUAAUAAUCAAUAUAGAGACAAUUGCAUAUAAAUUAAAGAGUAGGGAAAAGAGAAUGCAAACACAAGAUUUUAUAGUGGUUCGACGCAACCCGGCCUAUAUCCACUCUCCUCUAGCUUCAAUCCUGAGCUUGAGGUUUCACUAAUCCAAGGCUUCCAAACCAAGCCUUCAAGCAAUACAAUUGGAUUAUGGUUCCAAUUCACCCUCUUGGACUUUUGGCUCCAAGCACCCUUUACACUUCUCAAGAGAUAUCCCACUCUUGAACAACCCCUCAAGUGAUACUUCACACUUGAGAAACUUCCUAUCAAAGAUUUACAAAUGAAUGAUCUCUCAAUCUAGCACAAAAACUUUAAGCUCAAAUGAUACAAGAAAAACUAGGAUUGAAUGGUGCACUAAAGAUAUGCAAGUUUUGAAAUAAUGGUGCACUCAAAUAUACUCUUCCAAGGCUCAAAUAUAAUCAAGAAAUAUUUGGGAAGGUUAAUCUCUUGAAACAAUGAAGAUCGAAGCCUUUUUAUAGAAGAAAAAAGCCAAACUAGCCAUUGGGGGUUCGACCGGUCGACCAGUUGACUAGCCAUUAGCAUUUAAUGCAUGGCAAGUGACCGUUGGGCCUUAACCGGACCUCAACUAGUUGAGGUUCAACCUUGACCGUGAAGAGAAGGUCACUGGGAGAAAAAGAAACCUUUUGGCCUCCCUCAACCGGUCGACCGGUUGAGCCAUUUUUUUGGCUCAACACCGAACCAUUUUCAACUUAAAACCUUUUAACACAAGUUUGAAAAUCAUUUAAUACAAGGUUUUAGUUGAAAACAUGAAAUCAUCCAAUUCUUAAGAUAUUUAAAACAAUAUUACUCUUGGAUGAUUUUGGUGCAUAAAUAAAGAAUGAAAUGCAUGAAAGUCCUAGUGCACCAACAACCUUACAAAGAGAUCCUAUGAAGCUUUGGUCUUGAAAAACUCUUCUCUUUGAGGUGGUCUUCUUCUUCAUGAUUUCUUCUUGGUUUGAUUUGUCUUUGUGAUUGCCACUUUGGAAAUCGUCUUGCCUAAUCACACUUGAAAUAUGAUCAUUAGUUCUAAACCUUGUUUUGUUAUCAUAAAAAUCAAGAUUAACCAAACCUUGGUUUCACACCAUUUUUUAAGGCUAACAAAUUAGCCCUACGAAGAUAUAAGAGGAUUAAGAUGCAAAUAAAGGAAUGAAGAUGCAAAGGGUUUGAAGACUCUAAACUCUUCAUACUUUUUCACUUUCAUGGGUUUCAAUCUUCUUAUCUCAUCCACCAUUUUCGCUCCAAUAUUACAAUUUUUUUCCAUCACCCAUCACCCAAAAAGCUUAGUUUGAACAUAAUCUUGGAGUUAUCUCAAAGUUUCUUUUUUAUUCAACAAGUUUAUUCAUGAGUCAACCAAAUAUUGGGCUCAAGUAUCAAUUCAAUAUCGAUCAUGGUUGAGGCGGAUAUGACUCGAUCAAGUUGUACUCGUCUCAACCGAGAUUAUGAAACCUAUUUGAGCUCUCUAUAUAUCUACACAAUACCCAUUUUUGAAGGCUUACAAAAUAGUCCUACGAAGAUACAAAAGGAUGGAGAUGCAAAUACAAGGAUGAAAAUCCAAAGAGUUUGAAGACUCUGAACUCUCCAUAUUUUUUCACUUUCAUGAGUUUUUAUUUUCUUCUCUUAUUUGCCAUUUCCGCUCCAAUAUUACCAUUUUUUUUCCAUUACCCAUCACUCGAAGAGCUUAGUUUGAACAUAAUAUUAAGGUUAUCUCAAAUUUUCUUCGUGAUUCAACAAGUUUAUUCAUAAGUCAACCAAAUAUUGGACUUGGAUAUCUAUUCGAUACUAGUCAUGGUAGAGGCGGAUAUGACUCGACCAAGUCAUACCAGUCUCAACUGAGGUUUUGAACCCUAUUUGAGCUCUCUAUUUCUCUAUACAAUACCCAUUUUGAAGGCUCACAAAAUAGCCCUACCAAGAUACAAGAUAAUGGAGAUGCAAAUAUUACUCGUUGAAUUUCUAGCAAUAAUUGGUUUAUUUUUUAAAUUUUGAACUAUUUUUUAAAAUUAAAUAUCUAUUAAUGAAACAAAAAUACUAACUCUUUCUUGAUUUUCUUCUCUCAUCCACCAUAUCCGCUCCAAUAUUGCCAUUUUUUCCAUCACCCAUCACUCGAAGAGCUUAGUUUGGAUAUAAUCUUAAGGUUAUGUUUCUUUUUUAUUCAACAAGUUUAUUCAUGAGUUAACCAAAUAUUGCAAUGUUUUCAGAACCGGACCGGUGAUCGAACCGGAAAAGUUACCGGUUCACGGUUCACUGGUCGGACCGGCGGUCGAACCGCUAUUGAACCGGUGACAUCAUAAAUAUAUAAUUUAUAUAUUAUUAAAAUUAAAAAUAAUUAUAAAAAUUUUAAAAUAUAUAUGAAUAAAUUAAAAAUCAAUAAUAUUAUCAAAUUAAAUCAUAUUAAUAUUUUUAAUUUUGUUAAAUGAAAUAUGUAAAAUAUUUAAAUAUGAAUAUAUUAAAAAUGAAAAUUUAAACUAAUUUUAUCAUUUUUAAAAAUAUUAUAUUAUUUUUAUUUAACAUUACAAAAUUAAUUUAAAAUCUAAUAUAUAUUAUUUUGUUUAGCAUAUUAACUAACAUAAGCUGUGUAGCCGAGUGGUGCCUUGCAUGCCUUCCAAAUCUGGGGUCCAAGGUUCAAUUCCUCCUGGCUGUGGGGGACUUCUUGUUAUUUUUUUCAUUCAUUUGGUUGGUUAGGAAUCCCACAUCGGAAACAAAGAGAAAUGAGGAAGCCAAGGGUGCCUAUAAAUUCUAUCCACAUUGAAAGCCAACGCAUUCCCUCAUUGGGUGGGCUCAAGACUAAGCCCACAAUAUGGUUGAGUGGGGUUUGGGCUUUGUCAUGAUGAGACAAGCCCAGAAUGGGCAUUUUGCCCAAGACCUUUUUAUGCAAGGGAGCCUUUAAAAUGGAGGUUCAAAUUGAACCGUUCGGUUCGAUUAGAACCGUCCGGUUCGACCGAGUCACCGGUCCGACCGUCGGUUUUGGCGGUUCGUGGCCGGUUUAAAUCUUAAACGGUUCAAUAAGUAGAUCGGACCGGAAUUGUGACCGGUCGACGGUUGAACCGGUUGGACCGGCCGGUCCGGUCCGGUUUUUAAAACAUUGAAAUAUUGGACUCGGGUAUCAGUUAGGUACCGGUCAUGGCCAAGGCAAAUAUGACUUGGUCAAGUCAUACCAGUCUUAACUGAGAUUUUGAACCUUGUUUGAACUCUUUAUUUCUUUGCACAAUACCCAUUUUUUAAGGCUAACAAAAUACCCCAACGAAGAUACAAGAGGAUUGAGAUGCAAAUAUAGGAAUGAAGAUGAAAAGGGUUUGAAGAGUCUAAACUCUUCAUACUUUUCCAUUUUCAUGGGUUUCAAUCUUCUUCUUUCAUCCACCAUUUUCGCUCUGGUAUUACCAUUUUUUUCCAUCACCCAUCAUCCAAAAAGCUUAGUUUGGACAUAAUCUUGGAGUUAUCUCAAAGUUUCUUUUUUAUUCAACAAGUUUAUUCAUGAGUCAACCAAAUAUUGGACUAGGGUAUCGAUUGAUACUAAUCAUGGCUGAAGCGGAUAUGACACGAUCAAGUCAUAUGUGUCUCAACCGAGAUUAUGAACCUUGUUUGAGCUUUCCAUUUCUAUACACAAUACCCAUUUUUGAAGGCUCAAAAAAUAAUCCUACGAAGAUACAAGAUGAUGAAGAUGCAAACACAUGGAUGAAAAUCCAAAGGGUUUGAAGGCUCUGAACUCUCCAUAUUUCUUCACUUUCAUGGGUUUCGAUCUUUUUCUCUCAUCCACCAUUUCCGCUCCAAUAUUACCAUUUUUUUUCCAAUUUUUAUAGUGCAAUGGUUGGCUGUUCACGGACUAGCUGUACCUACCAUUUCUUUUUUGGGGUCAAUAUCAGCAAUGCAGUUCAUCCAACGAUAAACCUAAUCCGAAUUAUAGAGCUACGACACAAUCAAACCCGAAGGAAAGGAUUUGUAUGAUAUCUGAUCUAGGGAAAUAUAUAUAUUAUACUGUGUCAUCCAGAAAAUCGAGUGAUUCCUUAUUACCCAUCACUCGAAGAGCUUAGUUUGGACAUAAUAUUAUGGUUAUCUCAAAUUUUCUUUAUGAUCCAACAAAUUUAUUCACAAGUCAACCAAAUAUUGGACUUAGGUAUCAGUCCGAUACUAGUCAUGGCGGAGGCGGAUAUAACUCGAUUGAGUCGUACCAGUCUCGACUAAGAUUUUGAUCCCUGUUUAAGCUCUUUAUUUCUCUGUACAAUACCCAUUUUGAAGGCUUCCAAAAUAGCCCUACCAAGAUACAAGAUAAUGGGGAUGCAAAUAUUACUCCUUGAAUUACUGGCAAUAAUUGGUUUAUUUUUUUAAUUUUGAACUAUUUUUUAAAAUUAAAUAUUUGUUAAUGAAACAAAAGCACUAACUCCUUCUUGAUUUGGAGUUUAUUUGUUGAAUGAAAUUUUUUGGAUAAUUUUGGUUUUGCGCAUAAGAGAAAUAAUGAACCAAUUGUUGUUCAUAAAUUCAUAAAAUUGGAUUAGCAUUUGAGUUUCAAAUUAUUUUUAAAAGUGCUUACAUUCAUUAAUGAAUCUAAUACACUAAGUUCCUCUUUGGGAUGAAUUUUGAACGAGGCUAAAAGCGUUUCCUAACACUAGAAAGCAAUCUUAAAAAAAUGGUUGAAAAUCACUUUUAAAAAUCUAAAUGAUGACAUGAUUCUUCAAACUAUCACAUUUUUGUUAUAUUAUACAUUACCAAAACAUUCUCUGAACAUAUUUUUUUUUAAAUUUAUAAUAUGCAUUUCCUACAAAACAAUCUUAAAAAAAUAUGUAUAUCAUCGAUAAUUAAAUUACGGUUUGACAGUGAUUUUAGCAAUUGUUUUUAGUUUUUUUAAUACUUUAAAAAUAACAGCAGUGAAUUUAGGAAACGUUUCUAGCUUUUUUAACACUUGAAUGAUAUAAAUUUUCAAGUAUUAGAAAAGUUAAAAAUGUUUCCUAAAAUCACUACUAAACAGGCUUUAAUCAGUAGUAGUAAUUAAUUGGUAUUGAAUAACUGUAAUGCAGUUUCCUAAAUGUAGUAUUGAGACAGAAACAGAGAGGAAGAGAGAGAUGCUUAACAAACAAAUUGCUUUAUUGUAGUAAUAUGCCCAAAGUCCACACCAGAAGAGUUACAACUAGACCCUCUUAUCAUACUAGGAUUGUUAUAACGAGGGAAUUGAACAUCAUAAAUAGUCAUUCAAGCAAGGAAAUGAAAGGUUGAUAGCUUCUUCUUUUUCUAUAUUCCCCCACUAGAAUCGUGCUUGAAGGUAUUCAACCACCUUCUUGUCCAACUAGAAGGCCCUUGCCAGGAAAUCAGGAUUGAUGGGUGGAUUUGAUCCAAACACUGCAUUGGCUAUGGUGAUUACACCUGGAUUUUGGCUGUUCAGACCAGCAAUGGCUACUGCAUUAGUGUGCCCAAUGUUGAAUUGGAAGUGAAUGAGACCGAUAGGGAACACAAAAACAUCCCCUUUGUUGAGGACUUUGCUAAUGAAGCGGUUUUGAGGGUUGGAUGUGACAAAGCCAACUAAGAGUGUUCCCUCCAAAACAGUGAGGAUCUCACUGGCACGGGGGUGAAUGUGAGAAGGGUUUUGACCAUAGGGUGCAUAAUCGAUACGAACCAGUGAUAUCCCAAGAGUGUUUUGUCCCGGUAGUACAUCAACAUUUAUAAUAGUGACAUUUGAGCCCACUAGAUUUGUUGUGUUUCCUGGAAUAUUCAGCCCUUGAUACAAGAAAUCGUCGGCCACGGUCAGGUUUGGGUUCUUGCAGAACUUUCCAUUUACAAAUACUGCAUUUAAAAAAACAAAAGGAAAAUAAAAGAUAGGUCAUUAGUAUCAAACCACCAUCAAUGGAAAGAUUAGUGAAAAUAGUGACAAGAUCAUUGGUUACUAAAGAAAUACCAGCAUUCUCGGGUUCAUCAAUGGCAACACAAGUGUCUUGCAGUGGCCUUGGAUCAAAGGCAGAGGCAAGAGAGGAAGCCAAUGCCAUGAGGGCAACAGUUACCAGGGAACUAACACCUUUCUUCAUUGUUAGAGAACUAUCUCCAACAAUCACAAUCUUUAUCUUUAGGUGGGGGUGAGAAAUUUUGCAUGGGAAAGAUGUUAAUUUAUAGACCAGUCAAUGAGUUAAGUCUUUGCAUAAACUCAUAAAGUCUUCAAUGGUGUUGAGGCCUAGCGUCCCAACGAUCCACGCAGUUGCCAAGUGGACGCACGCUUUCAACCAAGAUUAAGUUCUGGUUCAGUUGUCCUUGCAAAAGAUGUCCGGACAGGGUGUCCGGACACACCCUCCGAUGGUUUUGUCAGCCAUGACCCGAGAGAUUAAGCAGUUGGCCUUUUUCUAGGUAUAGCAAGCUUACCUUCCUCCUUGUGUGAAGGUCCUUAUAUAUAGUGUCAGAGGCUCUGCCUCCCUCUUUAAUGAUGGGAAGAUUUUUUGGCUCGUCAUGAGGCCUCUAGGUGGUGGCAGGGUCAUCAUCAUCCUACGAGCGGCUGUUAGAGAUCGUGGGAGGUGACUUGCCAUCAUUCCUAUCCUUUCGCUCUGCAGGCGGCGGAACGUGGACUGUGGCAGGCUAUCGGAAUGACGUAGCAAGGCAUGCUCACUUUAAUCAAUGAUCCGGACAACAUAUCCGGAUAGGAUAUGCUGUCGUCCGGAUGUGAUGUUCGCGAGUGCCGUGUGCCUUUCCCUGAGGGAGUCCGGAUAGGGGAGCGCGCCACGUGUCCUCUUGGGGGGAAUCUGGAUGGAGUUGCUUCAGAUAGAGAUAUGUGCCACGUGUCAUCAGGGGGAGGGGUCCCUACAAUGGGUAGUUUUUUCUUUUCUUUUCUUUUUUUCACUUUCAACUUCAAGUGGUUACACCAAUACAUGUUGAUUUAUGUAGGAUUAGUUAGUUACUAUACUGAUCUUAACUAGAAAAUUCUCCAUGCGUGUGGAAAGUGAAGUUCAAUUAUUGGUGGAGGCAGGUCCAAUUUCAUAUCAAUCUGCAUGAUCCAUACAUUUACAUAAAUAGUAGAUUGAAUAUUACUACUAUUCAAACACUGAAAAAUAUGUAUAGAGUAUUGACAAGAAAAUAGAAGAUUACAGAGUCGGUGCAGGCUUGGACUAGACAAUAACCCACCCAUUCCAAACAUGGUUACUCUAUGAGGCUUGUGUAGGUUCAGUUUAAUGAGUAUCUAUAUAGCUUAAUUAACCAGUCAAAGUUUUCAGAGAUUGGCUGAUGAGAUUGAAUAUGUAGCCAAGUUCUGAGUUUCUAGCUCAUGUGCCUUCCACUGAGUGAAAAUCCUUGGAUAAUCUCUGGGGUUGCUAAAGUUUAAUGAAAAAUAGGGAUAAAUUCAAAGAUUUUCUGCUAUGCUCAUUAGGCUUUCCUCGGUUACAAAAGCUUUGACCAUGAUUUUUAUGCUUGCAGCCUUCCCUGUUGGCUCAAAAGUUAUUAUUAUUAUUAUUAUUAUGGUUUGAGAGAGAAAGAGAUCUUAUAAACACCUUUAAACUAAGACUUUUUAAUUAGUUGUUUAUAAGUUGUCUUUAACAAUUACGUCGGUGUUUCCUGGUGAGAAGCAAGAAAACUUGCAUUUGAAAAAUACCAACCUUUUCAAAUUUAAAGGUUGAACCAUUCUUCGAUUACACUUCUUUCUCAUCCUUUUCUCCUCAACUUAUGCUCUAGACUCUAGAAUGGAUUCUACAUAAUCUUCGGGUUUUAGGCCUUAUUCCAGUGUAAAGCUAAGAAGUAAACCAGUGGGCAGGCCAUCUCUAAUCAGUUUGUGAUUAGUGUCAUGACCUAGAUCUUUAUAAGAAGUUGGGGUCAGAGGUUUGUUUACAGUGGAUGUCAUAAGAUUUAUGGGCUUUCAUUUCUAUUCUUUCCUCACUAUUUCAUAACACUUAUGCUUCUCUCACCAUUCAUAUGGUUUUACUUGGACAUCUUAAUGAGUUUUUUCGAUCUCAGUUGAUGGGAGUUAUAAUGGGAUAAUUUAGAGAAGCAAAUUAAUGGCAUCUUUCCAUUUCUGAAUUGUAUGGGGUUGUUGCCUCAAUGUUCAUGUCUUCAUCACCAAUUCUGUCAGCAGUAUGCGAGAAGUAACAGUAGUUCUGUUUUAUGCAUAUCCUGUAUUUAAUCAAUCAAUCAACUGAGAUUUGUUAUUCAGUUGCUUCUUUUACAAGUGAAAUCUCAAAGAUUUAUUUAAGAUUUUUUAAUGAAAACAUAGGGUAAUCCUGGAUAUGGUAUUGGAUAGUGAGAGAAGAAGAUGGCUAAUACACAAACUGCUUUAUUUUAAUAUUAGGACCAAAGUCCACAUCAAACAAGCUACAACAUAAAGUAAUAAACCCUCUUAUUCUAGGAUGACCGUAAUGAGGUAAUUGAACAUCACAAAUAGUCAUUGAAGCAAGGAAAUCAAAGGCUGGUAGCUUCUUAAUUUUCUAUAUUUUCCAACUAGAAUCGUGCUUGAAGGUAUUCAACCACUUUCUUGUCCAACUGGAAGGCCCUGGCAAGGAAAUCAGGAUUGAUGGGUGGAUUUGAUCCAAACACUGCAUCGGCUAUGGUGAUUACACCUGGAUUUUGGCUGUUCAGACCAGCAAUGGCUACUGCAUUAGUGUGCCCAAUGUUGAAUUGGAAGUGAAUGAGACCUAUAGGGAACACAAAAACAUCCCCCUUGUUGAGGACUUUGCUAAAGAGGCGGUUUUGAGGGUUGGAUGUGACAAAGCCAACUAAGAGUGUUCCCUCCAAGACAGUGAGGAUCUCAGUGGCACGAGGGUGAGUGUGAGGAGGGUUUUGACCAUAGGGUGCAUAAUCGAUACGAACCAGUGAUAUCCCAAGAGUGUUAAGUCCUGGUAUUGCAUCAACAUUUACUGUAGUGACAUUUGAGCCCACUCGAUUUGCUGUGUUUCCUGGAAUAUUCAGCCCUUGAAAGAAGAAAUCCUCGGCCACAGUCAGGUUUGGGUUCUUGCAGAACUUUCCAUUUACAAAUACUGCAUUUAAAAAGAAGGGGAAAAGAAAAGAUAGGUCAUUAGUAUCAAACCAUUAUCAAUGGAAAGAGUAGUGAAAAUGGCAAUAAGAUCAUUGGUCACUAUAUAUAUAGAAAUACCAGCAUUCUCGGGUUCAGGAAUGGCAACACAAGUGUCCUGAAGUGGGCUAGGAUCAAAGGCAGCGGCAAGAGAGGAAGCCAAUGCCAUGAGGGCAACAGCAACCAGGAAACUGACACCUUUCUUCAUUGUCAGAGUACUGUCUCCAACAAUCACAGCCUUUAUCUUUUGGUGGGGGUGAUAAAUUUUGCAUGGGAAAGAUGUUAAUUUAUAGACCAGAAUCGGUGAGUUAGUCUUUGCAUAAACUCACAAAGUCUUUAAUGGGUAGUUUUUUUUUUCAUUUUCAAGGACAAUUAGUUACACCAAUACAUUUUAAUUUAUGUAGGAUUAGUUAGUAUACUGAUCUUAACUAGAAUAUUCUCCAUGAGUGUGUGGAUAGUGGAGUUCAAUUAUAGGUGGAGGCAGGUCAAAUUUCAUAUCAAUCUACAUGAUCCAUGCAAUAACAUAAAUAGUAGAGCUUUCUGCUCUUUUAGUUUUAGUACCCAAACACUGAAAAAUCUCUAAAGUAGUGUAUAGACAAGCAAAUAGAAGAUUACAGAGUAGGCCAUCGGACUAGACAAUAAUCCACCCAUUUCAAACAUGGUUACUCCAUGAGGCUUGUGUAGGUUCAGUUUAAUGAGUAUCUAUAUAGCUUAAUUCACCAUUGAAAGUGUCCAGAGAUUGGCUGAUGAGAUUGAAUAUGUAGCCAAGUUCUGAGUUUCUAGCUCAUGUGCCUUCCACUGAGUGAAAAAUCCUUGGAUAAGCUCUGGGGUUGCUUCUGUUUAAUGAAAUAUUGGGAUAAAUUCAAAGAUUUUCUGCUAUGCUCGUUGGGCUUUCCUCAGUUAAAAAAGCUUUGACUACUUGCAGCCUGCCCUAUCUGAGCAAUUGGCUCAAAAGUUAUUAAUAUUAUUAUCAUGUUUUUUGAUAGUGACUUUAUUUAUGUAUUAUGAGAGGGAAAGAGAUGCUUAACAAACACCUUUGAACUAAGACUUUCUAAAUUAUUUGUUUACAAGUUUUCUUUAACAAUCAAAUCUGUGUUUUUUGGUAAGAAGCAAGAAACCUUGCAUUGGAAAAAUACCAAUUAUUUAGAUAAAGUUCUCAGAUUAGUCUAUGUUUUAUACAUAAGGUAAGCAGAUACACUUUCCAAGCUUUCCAAGUCUUCAAUGGAUGGCCUUUUUUAAAUUUAAAGGUCAAACCCUUGUUCAACAACUACACCCCUUUCCCAUCCUUUUUUCCUCAACUCAAAGUGGACUCUGCAUAAUCUUUGGGUUUUAGGACUUAUUCGAGGGUAAAUCUAAAGGAGUAACCCUGUGGACAGACCAUCUAUGAUCAGUUUGUGAUUAGUGUCAUCAGUCAUGACCCAUUAGAUCUUUAUAAGUUGAGGUGAGAAGUUUGCUGCAUGAAUUCGAAUCUACUUUCUUUCCACUUCUUAUCAGCAUGGAGUGCAUGACGAAAACUUCAGAUAAAAAUGAAAACUCAAAUUAAACUGUUUUCUUUUCCAUUCUUUCUUCACUAUGUUCAUGACACUUGUGCUUCUCCUACCAUUCAAAUGGUUUAUCUGGACAUCUUAAUUAGUUUCUUCGAUCUUAGUUGAUGGGUUAUAGUGGGAUAAUUUAGAGAAGCAAAAUGGCACCUUUCCAUUUCUGAAUUGUAUGCAGUUGUUGCCUCAAUGUUCAUUUCUUCAUCACCAAUUCUGCCGGCAGUAUUGUAAAGUGUGAUUAAAGGGUCAAAGCUUGACCCUAAUUGAUAUUCAUCCACGUAAAUAUAUAGUACAUCAAGCAAACCUAAUUAAGGGAAAACCGUGAGUUUAGGAAACAAUCCUAAACAAUAGCAACUACUUUCCUAGAAUACUUUCCUAGAAUAUAUCAUAAUAUCUCAAUCGUGAGUUUAGGAAACAAUCCUAAACAAUAGCAACUACUUUCCUAAUAUACUUUCCUAGAAUAUAUCAUAAUAUCUCAACACCCUCCCUCAAGUUGGAGCAUGAGGUUCAAAAAUGCCCAACUUGGCAAGAAGAUAAUCAAAUUGUUUCUUUCCAAGAGCCUUUGUAAAAAUAUCUGCCAAUUGUGUAACAGUAGGAACAUAUGAUGGAGCAAUCAAACCAUCUGUUAUCGCAUCCCGGACAAAGUGACAAUCAACCUCAAUGUGUUUGGUGCGUUCAUGAAAUACUGGAUUUUUGGCCAUAUGAAGGGCUGACUGACUAUCACAAAAGAGCUUGAUUGCCUUUGGGUGGUGCACACCCAGGCUCAGAAGCAACCCCUUCAACCAUUUGAGCUCACAAGUAACUGCUGCCAUAGCUCGGUAUUCCGCUUCUGCAGACGAGCGGGAAACUGUGUGUUGCUUCUUUGUCUUCCAAGAAAUAGGAGAUUGCCCAAGAAACACAAGCCAUCCGGACAAAGAGCGUCUAGUGACUGGACAUGCUGCCCAAUCAGAAUCACACCAACCCUGUAGGGACAGAUCACUAUCUGCACGUAACAAGAUACCCUGACCCGGAGUACCUUUCAAAUAACGAACGACUCUCAAAGCUGCCUCCCAAUGCUCAAUUCUAGGCUCAUGCAUAAAUUGAGAUAAUAUAUGAACCGAGUAGGCCAAAUCUGGACGGGUCACUGCCAGAUAAAUGAGUCGACCUACUAAUCUGCGAUAGGACUCAGGGUUCGACAAGAGCUCCCCAUUUGCGAGUCCUAAUCUGUGAUUUUGCUCGAUCGGGAAGCCACACGGCUUGGCUCCCAGUAAUCCGGCCUCCGAUACAAUGUCAAGUGUGUACUUACGUUGACACAAGAACAAACCAGCCGAACUCCUGGCCACCUCGAUUCCGAGGAAAUACUUCAAAACACCAAGAUCUUUCAUCUUAAAACAAUCACUGAGAUAGGCUUUAAAGGUCUUAAGAGCAGCGGAAUCAUUCCCAGAGAUAAUAAGAUCGUCGACAUACACUAGCACAUUUAUUUGAACAUUGCCCGUAGUGUAAGUAAAAAGAGAAUAAUCAGAGUAGGAUUGUAAGAAACCAUAUCCUUUAAGAGCCGUGACCAACUUGGAAAACCAACAUCUCGGAGCCUGUUUCAACCCAUAAAGUGAUUUCCGUAACCUGCAAACCAAGUUCGGAUCGGAACGCUCAAAUCCUGGGGGUAGCUUCAUAUACACUUCCUCCUCAAGAUCUCCAUGUAAAAAGGCAUUGUGAACAUCCAUCUGAUGAAGUUCCCAAUUUUUCGAAGCCGCAAUAGCCAAGAAAGCACGCACCGUAGUCAUUUUGGCAACUGGAGAAAAUGUCUCAUGAUAAUCAAUACCAGCUUCUUGAUGAUUCCCCAAAACUACUAAUCUGGAUUUGAGCCUUUCAAUAUCACCGUUUGAGAAGUACUUGGUUCUGUAAACCCACUGACUUCCCAAAGCACGCUUACCCUUUGGAAGAGGUUCAAGACUCCACGUACCAUUUUCCUCCAAAGCCCGAAUCUCCUCAUGCAUUGACUUUUGCCAACCGACAUCUUUCAUAGCCUCUUUAAAUGACUUAGGAUCAUUGCUCGAAAUAAUAGUUGCAAGAAACUUUCGAUAAUGUACAGAAAAAUUGUCACAAUUUAUAUAAUGUGCUAUGGGAUAAGGAGUACCUGAGGGAUGCUGUGGAGACGGAGUGGCGGGAGAUGGACUUUCAGCAACCACCGUAUGAGUAACAAAAUCUCGUAAUAGAACCGAAGGAAAUUUAUCCCUCAUUCCCUUUCCCAUAGGAGCAGACUGCCCAUUGCUUGAAUUGUCAAGUCCAAGUGAAUCAAGCCCAACAGUAGGAACAACUUCCGGCCCAGGUGAAAGAGGCGCUGAAGAAGCCUCGGGAUUUUGUGUUUGGGCUUGUGGGUUAGGCAAAUCAGCAUCAUCAUCGACAAAAUCAGCAAAAUCACUAUCAAUUUCAACAUUUACCGUAGGCACAAUGUUUUCCGGAAUAAUAUUCACAGCACCCGGGUUACCAAACGGAAAAACAUCCUCAAAAAACUUGACAUCACGAGAAACAAAUAAUUCCUUGGUGUCCAAAUCAAACAACUUCCACCCCUUCUUUCCAAACGGGUAACCCAAAAACACACAUUUUCUACUUCUACUUGCAAAUUUGUCACCUUUGGAUUUUUGAUCAUGAGCAAAACUAAGACAACCAAAGGUGUGAAUUGCCGCAUAUGAAGGAGGGGUGCCAAAUAGGAUUUCAAAUGGUGUUUUAUUGUGUAACAAAGGAGAGGGAGUGCGGUUUAUUAAGUGAGCAGCGGCAAGAACACUUUCGCCCCAAAAAUAAAUAGGCAAAUUUGCUUGAAAGCGUAAUGCCCUCCCCACAUUUAAAAUAUGCUUGUGUUUUCUCUCAACCCUCCCAUUUUGUUGCGGAGUUCCCACACAAGAAGUUUGGAAUAAAAUACCAGUUGCAGAAAAAUAGUCAAGUAGGCAUUUAAAUUCCGUACCAUUAUCACUUUGAACAACUUUCACUGUUUGAGAAAAUUGUCGAUCUACCAUUGCAAUAAAAGACAUAAACAUCCGAAAAACUUCUGUUUUGUCGACCAACAAAUAAAUCCACACAGCUCUUGAGAAAUCAUCAACAAUAGUUAAAAAAUAACGAGCUCCACAAGAAGAGACAUGUUUAUAAGAGCCCCACAAAUCACAAUGUAUUUUCUCAAAAAUUCUAGUUGCCUUAUUGUCACUUAAAGGAAAUUUGUCUCUAGGAUGCUUAGCACGAAAACAUAUUUCACAAGCUUUGUUUAAACUACCCUUAAGAUUGCUAACUGGAGGAAGUAACUUCACUACUUUCUCUGAAGGAUGUCCCAUCCUUUUGUGCCACAACUCCAAAGUGGAUGCUGCGUUGUGGACAGAAACAUGUUGUACCGAAUCACCUUCAGCUCCACCGAAGUAGUAAAGUCCAUCUCGCCUAACUCCCGUUCCAAUCAGCUCCCUGGUGUGGUCCUGUAUAGCACACAUAUAAGAGUUAAAUUGGACAAUACAAUGUAAGUCAUCAGUCAAUUGUGAAACCGAAAGUAAAUUGCAAUUGAGUUUCGGCACAUAAAGAACGUUUUGAAGAGUGAUGUUAUUCGACAAACGAACGGAACCAGAUUGGGUCGCAACAACAGAUUCACCAUUAGGAAGGCCAACCGGACACUCAAACAACGCUAUAGUAUCAAAUAACCAAGAUAAAUCACCGGUCACGUGAUGAGUUGCCCCGGUGUCAAUGAUCCAUGACUUCGUGUCAAACUUACCAUUCAACCUGUCAUCCAGAACUUGAGCAUUACCAAUUAAGCCCGCAAGAGCUUUCCAUUGUUUGGGCAAAAAAGGUGAAUUCAUCUCCCUUUUAGGUGGCGACAAUGGUGGUUGUUCAUCGUCGCCGGCCAUUGUUUUAUUGUGUGUGCAUGUCAGCGCUCUGAUACCAUGUAAAGUGUGAUUAAAGGGUCAAAGCUUGACCCUAAUUGAUAUUCAUCCACGUAAAUAUAUAGUACAUCAAGCAAACCUAAUUAAGGGAAAACCGUGAGUUUAGGAAACAAUCCUAAACAAUAGCAACUACUUUCCUAGAAUACUUUCCUAGAAUAUAUCAUAAUAUCUCAAUCGUGAGUUUAGGAAACAAUCCUAAACAAUAGCAACUACUUUCCUAAUAUACUUUCCUAGAAUAUAUCAUAAUAUCUCAACAAGUAUGCUGGAAGUAACAGUAGAACUAUUUUACAACCAGUCAAGUAUUGCUUCUUCAUCAAAAUUCUGCAUAUCCUGUAUAUAAUCAAUCAAGCAACUGAGAUUUGUGAUCCAGUUGUUUUUCCACAAGUGAAACAUCAAAGAUUUGGAUAAGAUUUUUUAAGACAAAUAUUGAGAUGGAGACAGGAGUAGAAGAUGCCUAACAGACAAACUGCCUUAUUUUAAUAUUAGGACCAGAGUCCACACCAAAAGAGCUACAAAAGAAAGUAAUAAACCCUCUUAUUCUAGGAUGAUUGUAAUGAGGUAAUUAAACAUCACAAAUAGUCAUUCAAGCUUGCAAAUCAAAGGUUCCUAGCUUCUUCAUUUUCUCUAUUUCCCCACUAGAAUCGUGCUUGAAGGUAUUUGACCACCUUCUUGUCCAACUGGAAGGCCCUUGCCAGGAAAUCAGGAUUGAUGGGUGGAUUUGAUCCAAAUACUGCAUUGGCUAUGGUGAUUACACCUGGAUUUUGGCUGUUCAGACCAGCAAUGGCUACUGCAUUAAUGUGCCCAAUGUUGAAUUGGAAGUGAAUGAGACCAAUAGGGAACACAAAAACAUCCCCCUUGUUUAGAACUUUGCUAAUGAGGCGGUUUUGAGGGUUGGAUGUGACAAAGCCAACUAAGAGUGUUCCCUCCAAGACGGUGAGGAUCUCAGUGGCACGAGGGUGAGUGUGAGGAGGGUUUUGACCAUAGGGUGCAUAAUCUAUACGAACCAGUGAUAUCCCAAGAGUGUUAAGCCCUGGUAUUGCAUCAACAUUUACUGUAUUGACAUUUGAGCCCACUAGAUUUGCUGUGUUUCCUGGAAUAUUCAGCCCUUGAAAGAAGAAAUCCUCGGCCACAGUCAGGUUUGGGUUCUUGCAGAACUUUCCAUUUACAAAUACUGCAUUUAAAAAGAAGGGGAAAAGAAAAGAUAGGUCAUUAGUAUCAAACCAUUAUCAAUGGAAAGAGUAGUGAAAAUGGCAAUAAGAUCAUUGGUCACUAUAUAUAUAGAAAUACCAGCAUUCUUGGGUUCAGGAAUGGCAACACAAGUGUCCUGCAGUGGGCUUGGAUCAAAGGCAGCGGCAAGAGAGGAAGCCAAUGCCAUGAGGGCAACAGCAACCAGGAAACUGACACCUUUCUUCAUUGUCAGAGUGCUGUCUCCAACAAUCAGAGUCUUUAUCUUUAGGUGGGGGUGAGAAAUUUUGCAUGGGAAAGAUGUUAAUUUAUAGACCAGAGUCAGUGAGUUAAUCUUUGCAUAAACUCACCAAGUCUUCAAUGGGUAGUUUUUUUUUUUUUUUUCUUCUUUUUCACUUUCAAGGACAAGUGGUUACACCAAUACAUUUAAAUUUAUGUAGGAUUAGUUAGUUAGUAUACUGAUCUUAAUUAGAAUAUAAAGUGAAGUUCAAUUAUUGGAGGCAGGUCCAAUUUCAUAUCAAUCUGCAUGAUCCAUGCAUUUACAUAUAUAGUACAGCUUUCUGCUCUUUUAGUAUUACUACCGAAAGACUGAAAAAUCUGUAGUGUAUAGACAAGCAAAUCGAAGAUUACAGAGUAGGUGAAGGCUCAGACUAGACAAUAAUCCACCAAUUUCAAACAUGGUUACUCCAUGAGGCUUGUGUAGGUUCGGUUUAAUAAGUAUCUAUAUAGCUUAAUUCACCAUUGAAAGUGUCCAGAGAUUGGCUGAUGAGAUUGAAUAUGUGGCCAAGUUCUGAGUUUCUAGCUCAUCUGCCUUCCACUGAGUGAAAAAUCCUUGGAUAAACUCUGGGGUUGCCUCAGUUUAAUGAAAGAUUGGGAUAAAUUCCAAGAUUUUCUGCUAUGCUCAUUGGGCUUUCCUCAGUUAAAAAAGCUUUGACCUCUUGCUGCCUGCCCUAUCUGAGCAAUUGGCUCAAAAGUUAUUAUUAUUAUUAUUAUUAUUAUGUUUUUUGAUAGGGACUUUAUUUAUGUAUUAUGAGAGAGAAAGAGAUGCUUAACAAACACCUUUAAACUAAGACUCUCUAAAUUAGUUGUUUACAAGUUGUCUUUAACAAUCAAAUCUGUGUUUUUUGGUAAGAAGCAAGAAACCUUGCAUUGGAAAAAUACCAAUUAUUUAGAUAAAGUUCUCAGAUUAGUCUAUGUUCUAUGCAUAAGGUAAGAAGAUACACCUUCCAAGUCUUCAAUGGAUGGCUUUUUUUAAAUUUUAAGGUUGAACCAUUCUUCAACAACUACACCCCUUUCUCAUCCUUUUUCCUUAAAUCAUGGUCUAGACUUCAGAGUGGACUCUGCAUAAUCUUCAGGUUUUGGGACUUAAUGCAGGGUAGAGCUAAGGAGUAAACCUGUGGACAGGCCAUCUAUAAUCAGUUUGUGAUUAGUGUCAUGACCCAUUAGUCUUUUAUAAGUUGAGGUCAGAAGCUCGUUGCAUGAAUUGAAAUCUACUUUCUUCCCACUUGUUUUCAGAAUGGAGUACAUGACAAAAACUUCAGAUAAAAAUCAAAACUCACAUUAAACUUAUAAUUAAUUGGUCUUGUCUACAGUAGAUGUCAUAAGAUUUCUGGGUUUUCAUUUCCUUUCUUUCUUCACAAUUUUCAUGACACUUAUGCUUCUCCCACCAUUCAAAUGGUUUACUUGGACAUUUUAAUUAGUUUCUUCGAUCUCGUUUGAUGGGUUAUAAUGGGAUAAUUUAGAGAAGCAAAAUGGCAUCUUUCCAUUUCUAAAUUGGAUGCAGUUGUUGCCUCAAUGUUCAUUUUUUCAUCACCAAUUCUGCCAGCAGUAUGCUGGGAGUAACAGUAACUGUUUUACAACUAGUUAAGUAUUCCUUCUUAAUCAACAUUCUGCAUAUACAGGUUAAUCAAUCAUCUGAGAGUUGUUAUCCAGUUGGUUUUUCACAAGAUAAGAUUUUUUAAGACAAAUACUGAGAUGGAGACAGAGAAGAAGAUGCCUAACAGACAAACUGCUUUAUUUUAAUAUUAGGACCAAAGUCCACUCCACAGGAGCUACAAAAGAAAGUAAUAAACCCUCUUAUUCUAGGAUGAUUGUAAUGAGGUAAUUGGACAUCACAAAUAGUCAUUCAAGCAAGUAAAUCAAAGGUUGACAGCUUCUUCAUUUUCUCCAUUUUCCCACUAGAAUCGUGCUUGAAGGAAUUCAACCACCUUCUUGUCCAACUGGAAGGCCGUUGCCAGGAAAUCGGGAUUGAUGGGUGGAUUUGAUCCAAACACUGCAUUGGCUAUGGUGAUUACACCUGGAUUUUGGCUGCUCAGACCAGCAAUGGCUACUGCAUUCAUGUGCCCAAUGUUGAAUUGGAAGUGAAUGAGACCAAUAGGGAACACAAAAACAUCCCCCUUGUUUAGAACUUUGCUAAAGAGGCGGUUUUGAGGUUUGAGGGUUGGAUGUGACAAAGCCAACUAAGAGUGUUCCCUCCAAGACAGUGAGGAUCUCAGUGGCACGAGGGUGAGUGUGAGGAGGGUUUUGACCGUAGGGUGCAUAAUCGAUACGAACCAGUGAUAUCCCAAGAGUGUUAAGUCCUGGUAUUGCAUCAACAUUUACUGUAGUGACAUUUGAGCCCACUCGAUUUGUUGUGUUUCCUGGAAUAUUCAGCCCUUGAUAGAAGAAAUCCUCGGCCACAGUCAGGUUUGGGUUCUUGCAGAACUUUCCAUUUACAAAUACUGCAUUUAAAAAAAGGGAAAAGAAAAGAUAUAUCAUUAGUAUGAAACCACCAUCAAUGGAAAGAUUAAUGAAAGUAGUGAUAAGAUCAUUGGUUACUAAAGAAAUACCAGCAUUCUUGGGUUCAUCAAUGGCAACACAAGUGUCCUGCAGUGGGCUUGGAUCAGAGGCAGAGGCAAGAGAGGAUGCCAAUGCCAUGAGGGCAACAGCUACCAGAAGACUAACACCAUUCUUCAUUGUUAGAGUCCUGUCUUCAACAAUCACAAAUCUUUGUGUUGAGGUGCGGGGUGAGAAAUUUUGCAUGGAAAACAUGUCAAUUUAUAGACGGUCUUCAAUGGGUAGGUUUUCCUUUUUUAUCCUUUUCUUCACUUUCAAAGACAAGUGGUUACACCAGUACAUGCUAAUUUAUGUGGGAUUAGUUAGUUAGUUUAUUGAUCUUAGCUAGAAUAUUCUCUAUGCAUGUGUGGAAAGUGAGGGUCAAUUAGUGGAGGCAGGUCCAAUUUCAUAUCAAUCUGCAUGAUCCAUGCAUUUAUUUUAGUAUUAGUACCCAAACAGUGAAAUAUCUGUAAAGUAGUGUAUAGGCAAGCAACUAGAAGAUUACAGAGUAGGUGCAAGCCUGGACUAUAGAAAUAGAAUAACCUAACCAAUUCAAACCUGGUUACUCAAUGAGGCUUGUGUAGGUUCAGUUUAAAGAAUAUCUAUAUAGGAAUAUUAGUGAAUUUAUACUGCUUUAGUGUAAAUGUAAUGUGACUUACUUUCAUGAAAUAGUUGAUCUCUAUUAUGUAGCCAAGUUCUGAGUUUCUAGCUCAUGUGCCUUCCACUUUGUGAAAAAUCAUUGGAUAAGCUCUGGAUUGCUUUAGUUCAAUGAAACAUUGGGAUGAAUUCAAAGAUUUUCUGCUAUGCUCAUUAGGCUUUCCUCAGUUACAAAAGCUCUGACUAUAAUUUUGAUACUUGCAGCCUGCCAUAUCUGAGCAAUUGGCUCUAAACAUGAGUGAAAUAGCUGCAUGACAAACACCUUUGAACUAGGGCAUUCUUAACUAGUUGUUAAGUUGUCUUAAAGAAUAACAAUCUGUGUUUUCUGGGGAGAAGCAAGAAACCCUGUAUUGGAAAAAUGGCAAUUAAUUAGAUAAAUUCAUCGGAUUAGUCUAUGUUUUAUACAUAAGGUAAGCAGAUACACUUUCCAAGUCUUCAAUGGAUGGCAUUUUUUAAAUUUAAAGGUUGAACCAUUCUUCAACAACUACACCCCUUGCUCAUCCUUUUUCCCUCAACUCAUGGUCUGGACUUUAGAGUGGACUCUGCGUAAUGUUUGGGUUUCAGGACUAAUUCCAGGGUAGAGCUAAGGAGUAAACCUGUGGACAGGCCAUCUAUAAUCAGUUUGUGAUUAGUGUCAUGACCCAUUAGUCUUUUAUAAGUUGAGGUCAGAAGCUUGUUGCAUGAAUUGAAAUCUACUUUCUUCCCACUUGUUUUCAGAAUGGAGUACAUGACAAAAACAUCAGAUAAAAAUCAAAACUCACAUUAAACUUAUAAAUAAUUGGUCUUGUCUACAGUAGAUGUCAUAAGAUUUCUGGGUUUUCAUUUCCUUUCUUUCUUCACAAUUUUCAUGACACUUAUGCUUCUCCCACCAUUCAAAUGGUUUACUUGGACAUCUUAAUUAGUUUCUUCGAUCUCGGUUGAUGAGUUAUAAUGGGAAAAUAUAGAGAAGCAAAAUGGCAUCUUUUUUAUUUUUGAAUUCUCUGCAGUUGUUGCCUCAAUGUUCAUUUCUUCAUCACCAAUUCUGCCAGCAGUAUGCUGGAAGUAACAGUAGUACUGUUUUACAACUAGCUAAGUAUUCCUUCUUAAUAAAAAUUCUGCACAUGCAGGUUAAUCAAUCAACUGAGAGUUGUUAUCCAGUUGUUUUUUCACAAGAUAAAAUUUUUUAAGACAAAUAUUGAGAUGGAGACAGAGAAGAAGAUGCCUAACAGACAAACUGCUUUAUUUUAAUAUUAGGACCAAAGUCCACAACACAAGAGCUACAAAAGAAAGUAAUAAACCCUCUUAUUCUAGGAUGAUUGUAAUGAGGUAAAUGAACAUCACAAAUAGUCAUUCAAGCAAGCAAAUCAAAGGUUCAUAGCUUCUUCAUUUUCUCUAUUUCCCCACUAGAAUCGUGCUUGAAGGAAUUCAACCACCUUCUUGUCCAACUGGAAGGCCUUUGCCAGGAAAUCAGGAUUGAUUGGUGGAUUGGAUCCAAACACUGCAUUGGCUAUGGUGAUUACACCUGGAUUUUGGCUGCUCAGACCAGCAAUGGCUACUGCAUUCAUGUGCCCAAUAUUGAAUUGGAAGUGAAUGAGACCAAUAGGGAACACAAAAACAUCACCCUUGUUGAGGACUUUGCUAAAGAGGCGGUUUUGAGGGUUGGAUGUGACAAAGCCAACUAAGAGAGUUCCCUCCAAGACAGUGAGGAUCUCAGUGGCACGAGGGUGAGUGUGAGGAGGGUUUUGACCAUAGGGUGCAUAAUCGAUACGAACCAGUGAUAUCCCAAGAGUGUUCAGUCCUGGUAUCACAUCAACAUUUACUGUAGUGACACUUGAGCCCACUAGAUUUGAUGUGUUUCCUGGAAUAUUCAGCCCUUUAGAGAAGAAAUCCUCGGCGACGGUCAGGUUUGGGUUCUUGCAGAACUUUCCAUUUACAAACACUGCA
This 73622-nucleotide long non-coding RNA is filed under the name Vitis vinifera (wine grape). RNAcentral's name for it is "long non-coding RNA (VVIN_LNC004463)". The record is from RNAcentral. Lineage: Eukaryota; Viridiplantae; Streptophyta; Magnoliopsida; Vitales; Vitaceae.